CCUCCAAAGCCCCCCACCACACCUGAAGUAGCCAGUGAAUUUGAGUCGGAGCAUCCCUUCUUCAAAGUGGUGAUACGGCAAUAUCAUAAGAGACAAAUGGUAAGAUCUGAAGCCUAGUCCACGACUGGCAUAUCUUGAGUUCAAUUUCAAUUGCUAUAAAUCAUGCCUCGAUAUUGUGUUUUCCCAAGUUGAUUUGGUUUGUAUCGGAAACUUAGAUGACAUAAUAUAUUUCUUAAAGUGUCCAUGGAGAAACCUAAUGAUGGAGUAACGUGGAACCAUAAAAAGAUGAAUAAGUAAAGACUGUAACUGGGUCGGGACUGUCCUUUACUGGGAUGCCCCACAAGCUGCUCUAUUCACUAUCCAAGUGAAAGGAUGGACCGUCACUUUAAUGGUAAACUAACUGAAAAUAGCUAUUAAUGGAUAGUCACUUCUUUAAUAAUGCUUUUGAUUGCAGGUUAAGAUGGAUAACUUUCAUAAGCCCCUUAAUGCUUGUUGAUUAAAACUCUUGAACUAGCAAUUAUCGGCAAGAAUAUGCCUCAUGUGCUUCUUCUUUUUCACGUGAGUGUAUUCUUAUGAGAUGUCCUUUUAACAUACAGUGGUUUGUUCAUGCAUGUAUGAAUGGGCAGUAUGUUCCAAAUCAAUUUUCCCAGCAACAUAUUCAAGAAAACAAGGAAAUGGCGACUCUCAGGUUUUCAGAUAGAUCGUGGCCGGUGAAGCUCUUAAGCUAUACGCAUAAUAAAUACCAGGGGGUGUAUUUCUCUGUUGGUUGGAAAGAAUUUGCAAGAGAAACUCAUCUGUGCGUGGGAAAUAUCUGUAUGUUUGAACUCAUUGAUAGUGAUGAUGUUGUCUUUCAAGUCUCCGUUUUUAGUAGUGCUGGUAAGAAUCUGAUUCACAUUGAUUGAGAUGAGCAUUUUCUAAUUUAUUCGGUAGUUGUGAAUCAUGAAAAGUAUACCUUUUAUGUUUCUGUUUUCUUCUUCUAAAGUUUAAAUCAUCACUCACAUAUCUCAUAUUCAUUUUUCACUGUUUCAUGUAUUGGCUAUUCAAAACAUGCACAUGUGCAGAGUGUUCCGGUUAAAUUUGUCAAGCAACAUCUUCACGAAAACAAACAAGUAGCAACUCUUCGGUAUUCGGACAGAUCGUGGCCAGUGAAGCUCAGUAGGAGCCUUGGACAGGCCAGAGGUGCUCCGGCUCUGGCCUUCUCCACCGGUUGGUGUGUAUUCGCAAGAGAAACUGAUCUGCAUGCGGGAAAUGUCUGCUUGUUUGAGCUCAUCGAUAGGGAUGAGACAGUGUUCAAAGUCUCCAUUCUGAGAGGUGCUGGUAAUGACCUGAUUCAUGUUAAUGGAGAUGAGCAUCGGAAGUAUUACCUGAGGCCAUUGCAGCAUCGAAAUGAAAUCAGGGGUUCCUAAUGAUGCCUCCUUAUAUUAAGCAGCGCAGCAGCGAAUCAAUCAAAAGCACUCUUUUCUGCUUUUUGUUCUCCUUUCUUCCUUUUUGUGCUAGUUUCAAUUCUAUGACCACCUUGCUUGGAAAGAACCUCCCAAAUCAGUGAUCUCUAUGGUUUUGCACAGCGGCUCAACCUGACCAGUGGAUCUACAGGACAGUGAAGACAUAAUGCUCUGAUGUAUGUUCAUGGAGUAUUUCUCCUUUUAUAUGUUUUGUCCUUCAAAUAUUAUGGCUUGUCCUCGUCCUCUUCGUUCCCGGAGAGAAUACGAAGUUGUUGCCGAGCAGGAGACUCCUCCUCCAAGUAGUAGCCCUCACUUCUUCAGGAUCAUAUUCUUUGGGAUUGUACUCUCUGACAAGCUAAUUUGCCAGGUUACGAGUUUUGAUCAACACCCUUGAGAGGUUCCUGAAAGUCAUUGAUCUCAAUUAAGCAGCAAUCCAAAGCAUUUUCUUUUAGAAGUGACGUGUCAUUUAGUUUUCCAUACUAUUCAAAAUCAACUUUGGGAAAAAGCACAACACCGAAGCUUCAAUCUGGUCAGCAUGUAAGUAUUUCUAAUGUUCAAAUUAGUGGCGGAAAAUAUCACUAAGAAUUUUGUUUUACACUGACGGUAAAUGGUCUAUUUUUUAUUAUUUUUUCUUUGAUAGUACAAGAGACAAAAGCCUGAAAAGUAGAGUGGUUGGCAAUGGCGAAAAUUUUGCAUACAUGAUCUAAUUCUACAUGCCAUGAUCUAUAUGCCAAAAUAAAGCCUAGCAAUGCAACUCCGGAUUUUAUAAGGAUUUGCACAAGCAAUCAACUUACGUUCUCUUGGACUUUCAACUUUGAACUUGCAACUUUAAACUCCUUGCGAGAAUGGUGUUUGGUGCACUCCCGCAAAAUAAAAUCGAAAUGACAUUAUGUUGGAAAUUUAAGUAAGACCAAUCUGAACACAAUGGGGAUCAUCAUGGAUGGGUCGUAACAUGUACAUAUAUGAAUGUAACCUGUAAACAAUGAGACGAAGGGCGAAUAAGAGACUAAAUAUAAAAAGAGUUGUGGAAAUAGCUUAUUAUCAUGAAAAUAGGUGAUAGUUGGAUAUGAAGAGAAAUGACGGUUGAUCAUGAAAAGUGAUAAUAAUGGGGAUAAGGUACAUAUUCUCAAGAGAUGUAAAUACAACCAAAUCAUACAUUAUUCAAUACUCCUGUUCAAGAAUAGUAGCCUUCUCUUCUUCAUAUUAUUCCCUACUAUUAUUUUCUUUUUUCACAUACAAGUUUGAUAAUAUAUUCAAGGUGAAAUUUCAAGAGAGAAAUUAAGUAAUUCUUGAACUCUUUUUUUUUUUUUUUGGUAGCUAUAGUGUAUAUAUUGGAGGUGUAUUUGUUUUAAAUCAGUAGCAACAAUUGGAGCAAAUAAUACUUUAAAGACAAUCAUCUUUAUCAUGCAUCAAAGGACUAUAUAAACUACUGAUCUAUCUUCAUCAGGGAAUGAAGUUCCCAACAAGAGCACGAUGGGUGAAUGAAUGAAACUGUGUAAUGGAAACUGAGUUAACACAAAAGACUGAGGUUGGUGGGAAUUAAUUUAUAACAAAAGAACCUGCCAACGAGCCUGAUUAUUCGGCCAACGAGCCUGAUUAUUCGGCCAACGAGUUAACAAAGGAUAAAUCGAAAACAAAAACCAAGGGCAGGCAUGCUGGCUUUGUUUUGUCGUUGACAUACUAGGAAGGCAUGACGUUAGAUCACAAUGAAAUUAUAAGACACGAUCGGGGUAUUGUGGAAAAUCAAUCAUCUCAUACCUGGGACGAGCAAAUGAUGGAAGGUUUUCGUUUAUAGCUUGCGGUUUCGCUCUUCUUGAAUCCACAAAAGAGAACAUGCUUCCGAUGCUCUCCUCAAAGCUCUCUCUCUCUCAGUACGAGCAUAAGCUCGGAUGAGUUCUCGGGUUAUGGUGACUGAGAGAGAUGAUACAUAUGAGAACGUAAGAGAACCCUUCUUCUAUGUCUAACGUAUUUUGCUGAAAUUCUUGUCGUGACUUUCCCAGAGGUGAACCAUUGAGGAAAAGUUAAAUAAUUACUAAGCAAACAAGGGUCUCCCAAACCCAUACUAGUUGCAACUUUGGGAUUUUAAUUUAAUCAAUUAAACGUGCAAAUCAAUUUAUUUUGGAGUUGCUACUAAUCUAUUAUGGGUAAAUUGGAAAUCUAAAUACAAUGUAGGGGAACAUUUCACUUAUGCAAGUAAGAGAUUUCAUGGAUAAGAGGGCCUAGUUGUGCUAGAUAAAUCUACCAUCAUCUUAGUACCUUUUCUCUUUAUUUCAAAAUGUUUGGUGAGUAGUCUUGAUCAAUUUAAUCCUAAAUCACUAAUCAUGAGGGUGUGCAUACACUAAUUUAGCACUCAAUAAAUUACAAUAAGAAAUAAAUCACUAGAAUAGGAUAAAAAAGACACCCGAACCCCUAGAGUGCCAAAAUUUGGUACAAAAGGAUACUUAGGUGCCAAAAGUUACAAAAGUGACACUUAAGUGUUAAAAUCGGAGCAAAAUGGAUCACUUAAGUGCCACCGGCGAAAAAAUCCGACCAAAACGCUAACGUGGCAAUUUUUCGGCGAGCUGCACGCAAAACAACGUCGUUUUGGUAUAAUUUGAAUUUUAAUAUAUUAAUUAAAUUAAAUUUAAUUUUUAAAAAUUAAUUAAUUAAUUAAAAAAAAAAAAAGGAGGGAGGCAGCCGGCGGUUGAGGGCUCAGCCCUUGCCGUCGUCACUACCGCCUCCCCUCCGUCGCCAGGGAGGUUGGGGAGUGUUGGUCGAGGCCACCAAGCCCGGGCCAAGGGUCGGCGGCCCCAGCCGACCGGCGACAAGGGCUUGCAUGCCCUCGCCCGGCCGACCCAAAGGUCGCUGCCUGCUGGGGGGUCGCCCCAACCUCCUCCGCCUUUGCCGGGUCGAACCCUACCUUUGGUGGUGACCACCGAUCGGAGAGAUUUACUUGCGAGGAGUGCAGGACGAGCGACACCGUGAACGAUUGAGUUGUCAAACAACCUUGACCACUAGAGAUGGGUGGCGGCAAAGGCAGUGGAGGUGGCGGUGAAUUGGAUUCGUGGAGCGAAGGGCAGAGUAAAUCGUGGCGUUUCGGAUUCGUGGAGAGAAGGGCAGAGUAAAUCGUGGCGUUUUGAGAGUGCGUUUGUGUCUCUAUGAUAGCUACUGAGCUAGAUUCAUUUUUAAGGGAUUGAUAAAUGGGUUUUAAAUGGGUACAGAUUAGAUUCAUUUAACACUUAUAUAUUUUAAUCUCUUUAUUUUAAAAAUCCAUUACGGGAUGCUUUGAGAAAUAAAACUUUACUCAUUAAUGACCUUUUAAACAAGUAUGGGUCGAUAAAUGAGUCGUGUACUUAUUUUGACACCUCUGCAUCCACGUUACGAGAGGCUCGUGUCUGAUUAACACGUCCCAUGAAUCUUUGCCUUGAUCACCGAGCCAUCUGAUUUUGCCAGGACGAUGGCCUCAAGAACGAAGGCUCCGCGCUCCUGUAGUUGAACUUGAAACCCCCCAAACCAUCUUCUUCUCCUCCUCCUUCUUCUUCUGUGAGGAGCCAGGGGACACUGCUGUCUAUGGCUUCUCGCAACAGUCGUCGUCGUCGCCGGAGAGAAGAUGGAGCUGUCGAGCGGGAGGUCGCGACCGGCCCUCGUCUUGGGAGCCGUUGCUUCUUCAAGAUCAUACUCUCCAACGCGCUGGAAUCUGGAAAGCUUGUGAGUUGAUCACAUCUUCAUCAGUGUUUUAAGAGUUUCUCGUGCUCUGUGCUGUGUACCCGUCAGCCCGGAAAAACUGGUUUGUGGGUUCGGUUUGGAAUGAACUUUUCGCUUCCAGCUUAAAAAAGAACAAGAGGGUAUUGUCUAACAUGGCCUGUUUAUCAAACAAAAUUUAUCCUUUUUGCAUGCUUCGAUGAUAUGAAUGUCUUCAUCGGAUGUGCGACCGGUUGUCCUGAACCGUGGUGAUGGUCGGCCUCAUGUCCUCUUGGCUGCUGCCAUUUCUUCUGCUAAAGUUUGCUUUUUUGUAUAUUCGUUUUACGAUUUGGGUCGAAAUGGGUUUUCGGAAUAUAGUGUGAUGUGCAUGGUUCAGGUUUCCACAACAUCCGUUGGACAUUGCUAUUGGGAGAGUAAUUUCUUGGGUACACAGAUUUAACUGACCAAAAAUGAUAUGACAAAGUAAUGGGCUUUUUCUAAUGUGCCUUGCUUCCUUGGGCAGCCGAUCUCAGUCGUGGGAGAAAAGAAAAAUCGAUGUCAGCUGUUGUAUGACAAAACGUCUUGGCCAUGGGAUCAAGAUAAUUUUAUGUGAACUGUUGGAUUUGGCACGGCAAUUUCACUAAUCUUAGUAUAAACGAAUUUUGGAUUCUUGAGCUUUAUGCUUGUCCAAUGAAGCAACUAGAACUACAAAUCAAUCCACGACCAUUCUGAAGUACAAUUGUGGAAACUGAUCAUUCAUCCAUGUUGCAGAAUUUAAAGUUUCUUAGUUUUCUUCCUAUUCUCUGCACUUCAAUUUAACUAUGUUGAGUUAUUAUCAUGGACCUUUAACUUUAAUUUUUUACAUAAUAGGGAAUUCCAAAGAAUUUCUUGAGAAGAUGUGGAAAGGAUCUCUCAAACUCGGUGCUUCUUAAGGUUCCAGGCGGUUCAGCCUGGACUAUUGAACUAGAAAAGUGUAACAAUGACUUGGUUUCGUUGUGGAAAGGUUGGCGGGAAUUCAUGGAGCAUUACUCUAUUGGUCAUGGUCACCUCAUCGUUUUCAAAUAUAAAGGGAACUCUACUUUUCAUGUAAUAAUAUUCGAUAAGAGUGCUUCAGAGAUAGAUUAUUCGUCGAGCAGCAGCAAAAUAUCGUACCUUGGGAGCAAAUUUCCCUCGCCAAAAUCAGAAGACGUCCUAGGGGCAGAAGAUCUGCAGGAUUCCACACCCCGUCAAAGAAUGAGGGUUGAACCACAUUUGCCUUAUUCUCAGCUAAGUAUGAGCUACCCACCACAAGGUUUGGAAGGUGUGACUCUUCAUUGUUUAAGUCACGUUUCUUCUUACAUCACUCUCUUUUGUUAGUUGUUUUCCAAAAAUACUAGAAAACCUUUUUAUAAAAGUUUUUUCCUGAGCCAGUUUUUCUUGGUCCUACACCUCUGAGUUCUCUCACCGCUCCUGAAUUAUCCAAUGAGUUUUAUUCAGAGAAUCCCUUCUUCAAACUGGUGAUAAAUCAGGGUGGAAAAAUGGUAAGAUCUCGAGUUUCAUCCACUGCUGGCAUAUCUCAAUUUCAAUUAGGAUUGCUUGCUAAAUCUUGCCUCAGUAUUGUGUUUUCCCAAGUUGAUUUGGUCUGUAACUGAUACAANNNNNNNNNNNNNNNNNNNNNNNNNNNNNNNNNNNNNNNNNNNNNNNNNNNNNNNNNNNNNNNNNNNNNNNNNNNNNNNNNNNNNNNNNNNNNNNNNNNNUGCAUAAGCUGCUCUAAUCACUAUCCAAGUGAAAGGAUGGACAGCACUUGAACGGAAAACUGUCUGUUAAUGGACGUUCACUUUUGGAGAAUUCUUUAGAUUGCAGGUUAAGAUUGAUGAUGCUUUAGAUUGCAGGUUAAGAUCAUUAAAUUUUGUGAGCCUCUUAAAGUUGUUGACUGAAACUCCUGAAACUAGCAAAUAUCACCAUGAUUAUUCUUUUUUUUUUUUGGUAAUUGUCACCAUGAUUAUUCUUCUUGUGUGCUUUUUCCUUAAAAUUGUGUGCUGACUCGUUUGUACAAACAUGUACAUAUGUGCAGAAUAUUCCUGUUGGUUUUGCCAGGCAAUAUAUUCAAGCAGACAGGGAAAUGGCGACGCUUAGGUUUUCAGACGGAUCGUGGCUGGUGAAGCUUUUAAGAAAUUUGCAGGAUCACCAGGCAUGCUUCUCAUUCCACUUGAACAAUUUCAUAUCUUGGUUGUUUAAACAUGUACAUGGCCAGAGUAUUCCGCGUGGAUUCAUCAAGCAACAUAUCCAGGAAAAGCCAAGAGCAACUCUUAGGUACUCAGACAGAUCAUGGUCAGUGAAGCUCAUCAGGAACAACAGACACCUCAAAGGGGUUCUGCUCUGUCCUUCUCUGCUGGUUGGCGUGCAUUUGCAAGAGAAACUCAUCUGCGUGCAGGAAAUGUCUGCUUGUUUGAGCUAAUUGAUCGGGUUGAUAUUGUCUUCAAAGUCUCCAUUUUGAGUGGUGCCAGUAAGGACUUGAUAUACGUUGUUGAAAAUGAGUACUUGAAGUGUAUGCCUCCCUUAUUUGGUUGUGCUGCAUAACUGACGAGUACACUUUCUUUUCUAUGUUAAUUUAAAAUAUAGUGAUUUGUCUCCCUUAUUUGGUUGUGCUGCAUAACUGAUGAGUACACUUUAUUUUCUAUGUUAAUUUAAAAUAUAGUAAUUUGUCUCUUUCGAUGUGAAGAGCACGAAUAAUAUUUUCAUUCAAAUUGUCUGACUUUUUGAUUUCAUGGUAAUCAUUAUUUCCAAUUGAUUUAUAUAUCUUAUUAUCGUAGGUCAAUUGAAGAAACGCUUGCGCUAAAGUCCAUUAAAGUUUCCAUUUUUAGUUCAGCGCAGGAACAAACUGUCUAAAUGCAGAGUGAAUCAUAAUGCGCCCGUUUUUCGUGGUCCUACACCUCCAAAGCCCUUCACUUCUCCUGAAUGAGCCAGUGUGUUUGAGUCAGAGCAUCCCUUCUUCGAAGUGGUAAUACAGCAAUGGCAUCAGAAUCAAUUGGUAAGAUCUGAAGCCUAAUCGAUCGGUGGCAUAAUUCAAGUUCAAUUACGAUUGCUGUAAAUCAUGCCUUGAUAUUGUGUUUUCCCAAGUUGAUUUGGUUUGUAUUGGAAACUUAACGACGGAUUAUAUUUCUCAAGUGUCCAUGGGGAAUCCUAAUGAUGGAGUAACAUGGAACUAGGAAAAGAUGAAUAAGUAAAGACAGUAUUUGGGUUGGGAGUGUAAUUGAAUAUUCCUCACAAGCCACUCUAUUCACUAUCCAAGUGAAAGGAUGGACAGGCACUUGAAUGGUAAACUAACUGAAAAUAGCUUUUAAUGGACAGUCCUUUCUUAAAUAAUGCUUUGGAUUGCAGGUUAAGAUCGGUGACUUUCAUAAGCCCCUUAAGGCUGGUGAUUAAAACUCUUGAACUACAUCAUGUGCUUUUUUCCUUGUCUUUCACGUGAGUGUAUGUUUAUGUGAUGUCCUUUUAACAUACAGUGGUUUGUUCCCACAUGUAUGAAUGUGCAGUACGUUCCCCGUCAAUUUGCCAAGCAACACAUUCAAGAAAACAGGGAAAUGGCGACUCUUAGGUUUUCAGACAGAUUGUGGCUGGUGAAGCUCAAAAGCUAUUCGCAUGGAAACCUGAUGUUCUUCUCUGCUGGUUGGCCUGCAUUUGCAAGAGAAACUCAUCUGUGUGUGGGAAAUAUCUGUGUGUUUGAGCUCAUUGAUAGGGAUGAUGGUGUAUUCCAAGUCUCUAUUUUCAGUAGUGCCGGUAAGGAUCCAAUUCACAUUGAUUGAGAUGAACAUAGGAAGGGUUACUUUAAGUCAUUUGCUGCAUUAAUAUGAAUUCAGCAUUCCCAAUUAGCCUCUUUUAUUCGGUAGUUGCAAAUCAAUGAAAAGUAGACUUUUUCAUGUUUCUGUUUUCUUCUUUUCUGCACUAGUCUCAAUUCGAUUUUCAUGAUGACAGUGAUUUUCAAUCUAUGCUGGAUCUUUUCAUAGCAAGUCAAUUAAAGAGACAUUACACCAAUUCUAUUAAAUUUCUCAUUGUUUUACUGCAGGUGGGAUAGAGAAAUCGACAUGCCGACUGGGCUGUUCUGAGCUGGAUUUUCAUGGUCCUACACUAUCAAGGCCUCUCACGUCUCACGAAUUUGCUAGCAAUAUUGAUUUGGAGCAUCCCUUUUUCAAAAAGGUGACCCCGCAAAGUUAUUUCAAUCGCCUGGUAAGAUCUAAAGCUUAAAUCAUCACUCACAUAUCUCAUAUUCGUUUUUCACCGUUUUCAUGUAUUGGCUAUUAAAAACAUGCACAUGUGCAGAGUGUUCCGGUUGGAUUUUUCAAGCAACAUCUUCAGGAAAACAAACAAAUAGCGACUCUUCGGUAUUUGGACAGAUCGUGGCCAGUGAAGCUCAUUAGGAGCCUUGGACAGGCCAGAGGUGCUCUGGCUCUGGCCUUCUCCACCGGUUGGUGUGCAUUCGCAAGAGAAACUGAUCUGCGUGCAGGAAAUGUCUGCUUGUUUGAGCUCAUCGAUUUGGAUAAGACAGUGUUCAAAGUCUCCAUUUCGAGUGGCGCUGGUAAUGACCUGAUUCACGUUGACCGAGAUGAGCAUCAGAAGUAUUACCUGAGGCCAUUGCAGCAUCGAAAUGAAAUCAGGGGUUCCUAGUAAUGCCUCCUUUUAUUAAGCAGCGCAGCAGCGAAUCAAUUAAAAUCACUCUUUUCUGCUCUUUGUUCUCUUCUUUCUUCCCUUUUGUGCUAGUUUCAAUUCUAUGACUACCUUGCUCGGAAAGAACCUCUCAAAUCGGUGAAUCUUUAUGGUUUUGCACAGCGGCUCAACGUGACCAGUAGAUCUACAAGACGGUGAAAGACGUAAUGCUCUGAUGUAUGUUCAUGGAGUACUUCUGCUUUUAUAUGUUUUGUCUUUGAAAUAUUAUGGCUUGUCCUCGUCCUCUUCGUUCCGGAGAGAAGACGAAGUUGUUGCCGAGCAGGAGACUCGUCCAAGUAGUAGUCCUCACUUCUUGAGGAUCAUAUUCUUGGGGAUCAUACUCUCUGACAUGCUAAUUUGCUAGGUCAGGAGUUUUGAUCAAUACCCUUGAGAGGCUCCUGAAAGUCAUUGAUCUCAAUUAAGCAGCAAUCCAAAGCAUUUUCUUUUAGAAGUGACAUGUCAUUUAGUUUUCUAUACAAACCAAAAUCAACUUUGGGAAAAACAAAAUACCGGAGAUUCAAUCUGGUCAGCUUGUAAGUAAUUCUAAUGUUCAAAUUAGUGGCGGAAAAUAUCACUAUAAAUUUUGUUUUACACCGACGGUAAAUGGUUUAUUGUUCUUUUUCUUUUUCUUUGGUGGUACAAGAGACAAAAGCCUGAUAAGUGGAGCGGUUGGCAAUGGCGAAAAUUUUGUAUACAUGAUCUAAUUCUACAUGCCAUGAUCUAUAUGCCAAAAUAAGCCUAGCAACGCAACUACGGAUUUUAUAAGGAUUCGCACAAGCAAUCAACCUACGUUCUCUUGGACUUUCAACCUUAAAUUCCUUGCAAGAAUGGUGUUUGGUGCAUUUUGGGAAAAUAAAAUCGAAAUAACAUUUCGUUGGAAAUUUAAGUAGAACCAAUCUGAACACAACGAGGAUCAUCAUGGAUGGGUCGUGGCAUGUACAUAUAUGAGUAACCUAUAAACAAUGAGAGGAAAGGCGAAUAAGGGGUUAAAUAUAUAUAAAAAAAAAAAGUUGUUGAAAUGGUUUAUUAUCAUGAAAAUAGGUGAUAGCUGGAUAUGAAGAGGAAUGAUGGUUAAUCAUGAAAAGUGAUAAUAAUAGGGAUAAGGAACAUAUUUCCAAAGAGAUGUGGUGAUUGGCCAUAUAUAAAUACGACCAAAUCAUACAUUGUUCAACACUCCUGUUAAAAUAUUAUUAGCCUUCUCUUCUUCAUAACUCUCUCUUCUUCAUAUUAUUGUCUAAUAUUAUUUUCUUUUUUCACACACAAGUUUGACAAUACAUUCAAGAUGAAAUUCCAACAGAGAAAUUGAAUAUUGCUGAACUUGUUUUUUUGUGGCUUUAGUAUAUAUCUUGGAGGUAUAUUUGUUUUAAAUCAACAACAACAAUAGUAGGAGCAAAUAAUACUUUAAGGACGGUCAUCUUCAUCACGCAUCAAAGAACUAUAUAAAAUACUGAUCUAUCUUCAUCGGGGAACGAAUUUCCCAACAAGAGCAUGACGGAUAAAUGAAUCAAACUGUCUAAUGGAAACUGAGUCAACACAAAAGACUGAGAUUCAUGGGAAUUAAUUUCGAACAAAAGAACCUGAUAAUUUGGCCAGUGACUUAUAAAUCGAAAACAAAAACCAAGGAUAGGCAUGCUGGCUUUGUUUUGCCGUUGACAUACUAGGAAGGCAUUGUGACAUCCUCAAUUUUCAAUCUUGUUCAAUUGGAUAAAUCGGGCAUUUUAUCAACGCGCCGAUAGUGCUAUUCUCUGAGUCGAUCACUCAUGAAAUAACUAGACUAUCUGGGGAAGUCAUUAUGGGAUUUUAACGCAAUAAACUUGAGAAUUCGAUCAGGAAUCGACUGCUCGAUCGUACUAAUUUGCAAAGGUCAUUACGGUACAAUUAAAAAUCAUUUAGAGACCGAAGAUAGGUCGACUCGACUGAGGUGUGUGAUUGAGUGUGGGUGAUUCCACCUGAUUGUAAAAUUAUCGUCGAUUGGCACUAGACCAAUUUUAUGUCGUUUUAGGUUACCUGUGUCUAUAAUUGAAAUAUCGAGAUUUUCACGGCAACCGAGAAUCGCCAAUGAGUCAAAGAUAUACGUUGUGGCUCGAAAAUAAUUGACCACGAAUCAAUUGCACUAAAAAUUCCUAAAAACUACCCGAUAGGUUAGGUCACGCUAAAAUCGCGUCAGAUUGAAAUUAACCGCGAAUUUGAACCCGAUUUUAGAAAUUGAAAGUUUUGUUAUGUCACGAUUUAUUUUAGGAACGCCUACUCAUCAUUCAAAGAAUUUUUGGAGAUUCUGGGAUUUUUACGAAAAAUCAAUUAGGACGAUUCGGAAAACGAAUGGAAAUUUGGAUUGGCCGAAUUGAAGGGAUUUUUGACUUGCAAACCGAACCUUUGGGUGUUGGGGACUUGUGAAAUUUUUGUGGGUAUUUUCUUCAUCAAAAUUUGGAGAUUAGGUGAAGAAAUUGAAGUUUGUUUUGUGAAAUUCGUAUGCUAAUAUAAGGGCUGCUUUUUUGGCUUCAAAAUGGAUUAUUUUUAGGAAUUUAUCUUCAAGAAAGUACUAGGAGACCAUAGGGUAUGUUUGAGGGCUUUAAGGGGACCAAGCAUUCAAUUAUUUGGAUAGUCUUUGUUGACUAUUCUUCCUCUCCCUCAAGCUUCCGUCGCACGCCCAUCCGCCGCCCAUCUCCUUCGCGUGAACUUCUGGCUUCACUUUCAUUUCCUCUGCUAUUCUUCUUUUUAUUUCACCGAAGCCAGCACCUAUUCACUUCACCCCUCACUUCCACGUGCUGCUCCUCCAUCGUCACCCCACGCUCGAUUCUCCACCAACCGUUGCCCCCCAUCAUUUCCUUUCAUUUAUGCUGCAUCAUCAUCCGUAGCCCCAUCAUCCCCAUCCCACCGAAGCUGCUUCUUGCAGCUACCGUCCAAGCCACUUCGCCAAGUCAACCACGAAGCCUCCACCGCCCAGCAGCGUCCACCGAGUGAAGUGUCUUCAGCCGGCUCACGCCCGGUCAACAACAACACCCACAGAAGCUCCAUCGUUUACUCCAUCUCCACCAAUAUUCGUCUGCCACCGAACCAAGUCAUCCAUCAUCCGUGAGUAGCCCAUCAGCCGAGGGAAAACCGAGCAGCAAUUCUUCAGCUCAAACAGCGAGCUUGCGGGCCAUUUUUCGAGCCCGGUCAGUGCCCCGUUGACGUCGUCACUUUGGAGAGUAUCGAUCGUCAUUGCGACCCUGUCGUUUUGAUCUGAGUGGAUCUCGAAUCAAGUGAGUUAUCUCACUAAACCUUGAUUAGUAGGUUAAUUAUGCUUAGAGAGUAAUUAGAUUAGGUUAAUUAAGGUUUAGGUGGUUAGUUAGAUUAGAUUAGUUAUUUAAAUAUCCUAUUUUGCAUGUUAGGUUGUUAAUUUAGGUUAAUUAGGGCCUAGGUAGAUUGUAUUAAUUAUCUAGAUUGGUUCGGGAAUUUUCCGGGACCGACUCGGUAUUUAAUUUUGUAAUUUCGGCCUAGGUUAGCUAUUUUUGGUAUUUAAUUGAUUUAUUUAAUUAAUUUGUAAUUAUUUAAUUAUUAAAUAUUUUCCGGAAAUUAGACCGGAAUAGCCGAUGACUGGAAUUUCGUGCUGAUUGCAUGAUGUGUUUAGAUUUCGCAAUUGGAUGUUAAUUUGUGCAAACUGAGUGCUGAUUGAAUUUUUGGUAAUUUAUUCCAAAAAUUGUGAAUUUCAAUAUUUAUUCAGAAAUUACCAGGUGUUUUUAAUAUGAAGAAAAUAGGCUUGGAUUACUAUUUUAUGGGAGACAUUUGAGUGAAAGGUAUGGUGUCCUGGGUCGAGAUUAUUUGAUCGUGUGUUGAUUAAUGAAAACUAGUCUCGAGCUUUUAAGCCGGACAUUACCCUAUAUGGGAUAUUUAUUUUUUGGAUCGCGGGUCGCAGUAGAUUUUGGACCUACGCCCCUUCGGGGAAGCCGUCUAUUAAGAUAUGGACGUCGUCAUGCUCAAUGGAGGUGAGACGAUGCCUGGCUAUGCCAGAAGGACAUUGAACUUAUGAGUAGGUGACUCGGGUCGCGGUAGAUUCUGGACCUAGGCCCCUUCGGGAAAGCCGUCUAUUAAGAUAUAGAUGUGGUCGUGCUCAAUGGUGGUGAUGCGAUACCCGGCUGUGCCAGUAGACACUGAACCUAUGAGUAGGUGGGGCUUAUUAUUUCGCUUCCGCAUGUGCAAUUAAAAAUGAAAGUGUAACAUCCCGGGUCUCCACUGUACACAUAUUAUCCGCUUUGGACACUAAGUCCUCACGGUUUUGUUUCUCUCGGGAUAGCCUAUACUACCCCAAGAAAACGUGUAUGUACAAUUAGAGGGACCCAAGCCUUAUAAGCUAGCCCAGGACUCUCUCCUUAGGCGAUGUGGGACAAGAGAGGGACCCCUUCCUUGCGCACGUCCGAGACCACCGCUCGGGCCGUUACACUCUCCACCUCUUGGCAGAAGAGCGUUCUCGCUGUGGCCCCACACGCGGUCGGGAGUCAGAACAACAUUCUUGCUGUGGCCCCACACGCAGUCGGGAGUCGGCUCUGAUGUGCAGUCGGGAGUCGGCUCUGAUACCACUUGUAACAUCCCGGGUCUCCAUUGUACACAUAUUGUCCACUUUGGACACUAAGUCCUCACGGUUUUGUUUCUCUCGGGGCAACGGUUUUGUUUCUCUCGGGGCAGCCCAUACUACUCCAAGAAAAUGCGUAUGUACAGUUAGAGGGACUCAAGCCUUAUAAGCUAGCCUAGAACUCUCUCCCUAGGCGAUGUGGGACAAGAGAGGGACCCCUUCCUUGCCCAUGUCCGAGAACUGCCGCUCGGGCCGUCACAGAAAGGGUCAGCGACUAGUCCUGGGAAGUUGCAAUUAUAUCGACUAGAGCGGGAUGGGCAUGCACUCGAGGAUCGGGACGUGACAGGCAUGACGUUAGAUCACAAUGAAAUUAUAACACACGAUCGGGGUAUUGUGGAAAAUCAAUCAUCUCAGACCUAGGACGAGCAAAUGAUGGAAGGUUUUCCUUGAUAGCUAGCGGUUUUGCUCUUCUUGAAUCCACCAAAGAGAACANNNNNNNNNNNNNNNNNNNNNNNNNNNNNNNNNNNNNNNNNNNNNNNNNNNNNNNNNNNNNNNNNNNNNNNNNNNNNNNNNNNNNNNNNNNNNNNNNNNNAUUUUUAGCUUUAUAAGGUUUCGAUUUGUUUGCCGCAACAAAUGCUGGCUUAACUUGAGUAAUAUGAAUUUGAUUGACUUGUUAUUGCAAUCGACGCAUUCUUUUUUUUCUUUUGAACCCUUCCUUUCUAGGUACGCGUCAUAUUACCCCCUUGGAUUUCCUCUGCUUCAUACCAUUGACCCUCUGACGGGUUAUAAGGUACUUUCAGAGUUCGUCGGUGAUGUGAUUGUACCAUAUGACCAUACUCCCUAGUGUCAUCGCGAAAUUCCUCCCCCCAUCUGGAAGGAACGAUUUUAUAGGCAUAGGAAGAGUAAGAUGGAGGAGGCGCAUGACUCACAUAAUAAUCAAACUUUCCAUUGGGCUCCCCCAAUGUGCCUAUGGUAGAUCCUUUUCAUCAUAUCUCUAUUGAAUGACUUAUAGGGCUUUCGAUGAGGAGGAACAUUUUCUGCAUGAAAAAUUUCAUCCUCGUCACGAGUCCCAUGAUAUGGUCUGGAGGUUCUUGCACUUUGGUACUUGCUAAAGGUACGAUCUUCUAACGGGUACUCCUGUUCUCUUAGAUAUCAAUGAUCUUUGUUUUUAAUUAUGUGCCUAGAAUGAGUGCAAAUAUGUGGCCAUCUACAUCUUUUACCUCGAGGCCUUAUUGAAACCAUACCAGUCAUUACAGGGAAUGGGUCUAUGUCCACCUCCAUCGAGGAUUUCCUUUUGUCGUCGGCAGACUUUAUUUUCCCCUGUCAAAUUACCUCUUGGAUAUUCUUCUUUAGGACCACGCAAUCAAAGGAGCUGUGGCUCCACAAGUGAUGCCAUUUGCAAUACUUCUUUCCCACUAAUUCAUCUUUAGCGGGUAAAUUCUAUACUACUGUUAACUUUAUUUGACCAUCUGCCAAUAACAUGUCAAAGAUUUCUUCGGUCCCAGUAACAUCGAAGGAAUAGUAAAUUGAUUUUUUGGCUUAGCCAUGAUAUUCGACUUUUCCUUUGUCUUAGUCGGCUUUAAUGGUUGGCAUGUAUAUGGUUUUUCAAUGACCAUUUUGGUAACAACCAUUUCUACUAUCUCCAUUUGUUCCUCAUCGAAGUCAUUUGUCUCGACAAAGCUUACGUCUCCCCUUCAACCAUGUCUUUUAUCCUUUUUUUCAAGCAAGUUUUCAUGUUUGACUUACCAUUCUUUCCCAAAUUUCAAACUUCAGGCCAUUGAAGGCUAACUCUACAAAUGUUUUCUUAGGCACGAGGACUAAGCAUUUGAUUUUCGCCCUUUUGUACCUUGCUCUAAACUACUCAAUCGUUUCAUUUCCCAUUUGUCUCAUAGUUGACAAGUCAACGACUGAUAAGUCUAGGAUAGCUCGCUGGAAUUGGGUGUGGAAAAGUCGUUCCAUUUGCUCCCGUGAGAAAAUUGAAUUGGUUGGUAGUGUGGUGCACCAUGUGAAAACUGUCUUUGACAGUGGGAGUGGAACAAACACAACUUCCAAUGAUCACCAUGUGUAGCAUCACCACAGAGGGCUAAGAAGCAAGUAAUGUGUUCGAAAGUUGAUUGAUAAUCUUUUCCGGUGAAUAGCGUAAAUUCUAGCAUUUUAAAGCCUCUUCGAUAUGGGACUGUGUCCAUCCAAUAUGGGUAAAGUUUUCUAUAGGCAUUGCCCAUGUAUCCAGGAUCACCAACAUAAUUCCUUCCAGCAGGUUUGAUAGGCAUCUAAUUCUGCCAUAGGAUGGCUAUGGGUAACCUUACCAUCUGUUGGGUGCUAUACUCGGUAUGCAACAUCGGGUUCGCAUUCUACUGCGGGAACUGAUAUGCUAGCUGUUGUGGAGCUUGAUACAUUGGCUGCUGCGGAGCCUGGUAUAUUGGUUGUGGCAGAGGUUGAUACACUGAUUGCUAUAGAAUUUGAUAAAAUCGAGGAACGUUUUGGUUGGCUGGUGGAUUGUUUAGUUUUAGGUUAUGAUGUAUGGAUUGAAACUCUUGAUGAGGAAUGUGUGAUUAGUGUUUGGGAAAAUUGUUCCUGCCCCCUAGCUGGAGCUAAACAUCGUUCCUUCAUUGUCAAUAGCUACAUGUGUAAGUGGCAUAUUAGGCUGAUCGUGGGCAUGACACUAGGGACACUGGUAAUGUACUGGGCAUUCUUGUUUGUUGACACAUAAAUUUUGGCAAUCUGUUUAGUCAUUUAUUACAUUAAAAAUUAUGGGUUAAUUUUAUCCCUGAAAAAAUAGUUAAUUGCAUAGCAUAUGAUUUUAGGUGCAUUUAUUUUUAAUUUACAUUUACAUUGGGCUGGUGACGGAUGGAUUCGAAUCGAUGCUUCAGAAACUUUAAUUUGAUGAGUUGGACUAAGCUCACGAAAAGAACAAAUUGGCCCAAUCUCGUAUCCUUGGGGAGAUUUUACGAAUUUAUUUUUGUGAUAUUUCAAUUCAAAAGAAAAUAUUCGUUUGGAAAGACAAAUAUUGCGUUUGGAAAAGAAAUUUUUGUGGAUAUGAUUUUGGAAAAUUUAAAACCCUAAUCCGUGGCUUAUAAAUAGAUUAAUAGUUUUGAGGAGGUCACACAUAUCGAUACACACGGCCGUAUGUAGGGGGCUUCUCUCGAGUUUUAGAUAAAAAAAAAUUGAACACGAAAAGAGAAGAAAAACUUUGGUUUUCUCCGUUCGUUCCUUUGAAAGAAAAAGAAAAGCUUUCCUUACCAAAAAAAAAGAAAAAGAAAAGCUUUUUUGGGAGAAAAGUCAACAGCAAAAGAAGCUUUUGCUUCUGCAGAUAGAGAAAAAGGCAGCAGAAGGUAUACAGAGAGGGACGUGGGUGUGACGUCCAGCAACAGGGAAAGGAGGGAAAAAGCAAUCACUAUUCAUCUUCUUCCCCCUGCCCGCAUCUGCCGUUCGCAAGUCUAGCACCGCCGCUCCGCCGGUCUCGCCACGACGCACAGCCCCAUCGCCGGCACCCGCCGCUGCUACCCGCCUCUGCAGCAGAUCUACGUCCGUCUCCGCCAGCCUCCACCAGCGACCGACGCUGCUCCUGUCCGUGAAGCCCACGAAGCCGCCGUGUCGGCACCACCUCCGCCAGCCACCUCCGCGCCUCCGCCGCUGUCGCCCCGCCAGUCGCCGGAGAUCCUCCUCACCGCGAACCCGUGCCGGUCCACGACGUCGCUUCUGCUCGCGUUCCCAGAAGCCGCAAGCCACCGGUCCCCGCCGCGCUCCGCCUCGCUUCCAGCCCGCGCCGGCCCGCGACACCAUCGCUGUCCCGAUCUCACGCCCGGGAGCCCCGACGACGGCAGAUCUGAGCCGGUCGUCGCUCCACCGUCGAGCAAGCCCCGUACCACGCAUCCGCGCUGCUGUACCGUCCGCGACCGCCCGGUGCCCGACAACCUUGUCUGUUGCGCCAUCGCCGUGACCCCCGAGCGACGCUGCUGCAGCACCCGACGUCCGGCGUCCCCCCGCUUGCUGCUGGUCCUCCUCGCCGGAGCUCCGACGACUGCAACCUUCGACCGAGCACCCACCACGAGCUGCCAACGUCGUUUGGAAAGCAAAAGGAAAAAAUGAAAAAAUCAAAUUAGGUAGAUUUACUUUAUUUUAUUAGGCAGAUUUAUUUUAUCUUGUUUUAUUUUUUGCAUAUUGCUUUCUUCAUUUGAAAUAUUUCUCCAUGCAUAAUUGAAAAUCUCGACAUACCACCUAAUUCGCAAUCACGCAUGGAUUUUUUACUCCAUCUAUAAGGCUUUAAUCAAGCAGGAAUAAAAUGGAUAUUUUGAUCUUUAAGGCUUAAAAUCAAUUUAUCGAUUUUAUUAGCGAGAUAUUGUCCAUUGAUUUGAACGAUGUAUGAUAUCUUUGAUGAUUUUGAAUUGUCCGUCUUAACUUGAUUGCUUUAUUUAUUUUGAAAUAUGUUUGGGUUAGAAUGUUGCAUGCUUUAGGUUAUUUGCAUAUUUAGACUAAGCAUUUUUAUUUAUCAUGAAUUGUCGAAAAAUAAAUAAAUUUAGGAUGUUAGAUUUUUGUUUCAUUAGCUUAAAUUGCAUGUUUAAUUAUUUGACUUUUUUUUCGAAAUUAAUUAAAAAAAUAAAAAUCAUCAUGCAUAUAUCAUGUAAAAUUAUGACAUCCUUUGUACGUCAUUGCAUAUUAGGAUAAAUUGCAUAUUUCAUUUUAAAUUUAGAUUUUUAGAUAGAUUGCAUUUUAGUUAGGGAUUUCUAAGUUAGGGUAACAUCACUUAACUUCAUUCCUAAUACAGAUCAUAUGAUAUCUUAAUCUAGUUAGAUAAUUUUCACAUUUUAUUUAAUUCCAAAUUACAUGAAAAAAUACAAAAAAAUGUCUUAGAAUAAAUUAGUUCUAGGAUAGAUUGCAUUUUUAGGAAAAAGAAAAAAUGUCAUAUGCACGUCAUUAGGGUUAGAUUCAUUGAGAUGCAUGUCAUUUAGUAUUUUUGCUAGGCUCAUUUAAUUAGAAAUUACAUGUCAUUAGAAUUAGGUCAUUUAGUUAAUAUUGCAUUGCAUAUUGCAUGAUUUUCAUUAAUUAAGUGAAAACAAAAAAAAUUGCGUGUUAAUUAGAAACCAUAUCUAAGGUUGUUGAUGUGGAUUUUGAUUUAACAUUGUAGGUGCUUCCGUUGCUUUAAGGUAAGUUUUUGCAAUUUAUUUAUUGUUUAUUUGGGUGUUAAAUUGGUGGUUUAUGCACCCGCAUAAUCACCUUACAUGUUAGGUAAAUAGAUGUAAAAUCAAUUUAAGCUGCUCGCAAAAACAUUUUUUGGAAAAUAAAAGAAUGGUACCAAAAGGGCAUUAGAGGAAUCUAGUGUAACCAAGUCCCCGUAUCCAUAGUCUCUGGUUCGUAGGAGUAAAGUAAAACUCCCGUUACUUUACUUGGGUUUUUAAUCGACCCACCAAAAAUAGAUUAGUGGCGACUCCUGAUUAAAAUUUAAUCGCAUGUUAAAAAUUUGAACCCAAGUCGCGAAUUGGUAUAAGCUUGGGAGAGCCCGAGCUAAGCUUAAAGCUUAAAAUCCAUUAGCCAAACCCUAGGUGGUUCUCAUCCGAAAAAUUGGCUGCGACAUUGUUAAAAGCAAGUGGUGCAUCCUGACGAGGUCGCUGCUCGAUAACGCCAUUAGGAUCAAAGACUCAUUGAGGAUUAGACUCACUAGUUUGGGUUGUCGAAAUUGUUUCUUUCCUUUGCAAAAUCCUUAUAGGUGCUAAGGGUGGUACGCUCUAUCCUACAGUGCCAAAAGUUAUCGCAAGAGAUGAUGGCAAAGAUGCGUACCUUAUUGCUAUGGGAGCAUUCCCAAUCUAUGGCUGGGCUGAUCUUACUGGGAUUCCUUGUAGCCCCUAAGCACAUUCAUGAUAUGUGUUAAUUAUCAACAACCUGAUGACAUUAGUCAUUUGUCUCACCAUAUAAUCAGGGAAUUCAUUCUGGGUUUCUUCAACGGUUCGUCUCAUUGACAAAAGCAUGACAGGGGUAAUUUCCACUGAUCUCCUUGGUUCCUCCACAUGCUGCCUGGGACAUCUAUGUUCUCACCUUAUGCCUAAUUUGGAACAGGUUGAGCAAAUGAUGACUCAGCACGUGGAAUAUCCUCCAUUGAUGGUAAGGGCUUGUCUAUGACACCGUUUAGAUUGUUGCGACUCCUUGUAUGUGGCAUAGCACUCUCUCGUAUUAACACAGCCGUCCCACUGGACGUGCCAAAAAGAUGUUUUGUUAGUUUUGGAUCCCACAAAGAAAUAUUUUUCUUAAAGUGUUAUAUUUUGGUUUUUAUUAUAGGAGACUUAGGUUCUGUGUUAGUAUUGGAUAAAAAGGGUAUAUAUAUAUUAUGGUCCUGAAUAUAAUGGAGUCCCUUAACACAAGUUCGAAAUUGAAGAUAACUAAUAUUGAAUUCUAAUCAACAGCUUGAUUUUAAACUCACUUUAAUGUACUAAUAAAAGCCCAUUAUAAUCAAAGUGGUUUGUAUAGUAUCGAAGCUGAUUCGACAACAUUGAACAUUGAAGAUGUCACAUCCCGAUCCUCGAGCGCGUGCCCAUCCCUCGGUGGUCAAUAAAUUUGCGACGUCUCAGGACGCGUCGCCAACCCAUUCAUUUUAAUAUGCAUACGGAAGCGAAACAAUACCCCUGACAACAAACGCUUUGGAUGUGACAUCCUGAUUUUCAGGUUCUGAUUUCAAUUAGUUAAAUUGGGCAUUUCAUCGACACGACUACAGUGUUUUUCUCUGAGUUGGCCACUCACAAGAUAACUAGACUAGCUGGGUAAGUUAUUAAGGACUUUAAGACAGAUAGACUUGAGAAUUCGACCAAGAAUCGACUUCUCGACCGUGCUCAUCUUUAGAGAUCAUUACGACACAGUUAAAAAUUGAAUUAAGAUUAGAGAUAGGUCGGUUCAACUGAGAUGUGUGACCGAUCGUGGGUGACUCCACUAAAUUGAAAAACUCUCGUUGACCGACAAUAAUUUGAUUUUAUUGUUGUUUUGGUACCUUGUGUCUGUAUUUGAACUCUCGAGAUUUUCACGAAAAUCGAGAAUCGACAAUGUGUCGAGUGGGUUCAUCGUGGCUCGAAGAAAAUCGACCACGGGUCAUUUGUCCUGAAAAGUUUUGAAAACUACCUAGUAGCCUAGGUCACGCUAAAAACGCGUCCGAGUGAAAUUAACCGCCAAUCUAAGUCCGAUUUCAGAAAUUAAAGUUUCUGUCAUGUCACAAUAAAUUCUAGGAGUAUUGACUUAGUCUCAGAAGAUUUUUCUGACACCCGACACUUUUUGGAAAAAAAGUCGUCGCCGAGUUGUUUUAGUGCAGAAAUUGCCAAAGAUGGUUUUUGGUCACAAAAUUGAGAUGCAAGAUGGGUUAGUGGAUGAGGAAAAAUAGCAAUUGAAGCAUUGAGAUAUCGAUUGAGUUUAUAGAGGCUGAGUGAGAGUGAAUCAAGAGAGAAUGAUUGUGCAAUUGAAGCAUUUGCUAAGAAAUUCGUAACAUCCCCACACCCUAGCAAGAAUGGACCACUUGGGAGGUUAUAUGAGACAUUUUUUAUGGCCUAAUGAAGGCCAAGUAUUUAUACAUGGCUAGAUUGAUUUAAGGGAGAUAUUUUGCAAAAUAUCAAGCUUUGGUGGAGCCCUCACUCCUCAUACCUAUCCACCUCUCUUUCUCUCAUACCCCACAACCGGACAACCUCUCUCUCCCUUCUCAUUUUUUGUGCGGCACCAUAGCUAAAGAAGACAAGAAAUCCACACCAUCUGCUCUCUCUCUUGUGCGCCAACCCCACCGAACGAAGACAGAACCACUCAGUAGCUCCGCAAACCCGCGCAACCACCGACUCUGCUCCACUACGCUUUGUCUUCCACGGUCAAUUUCCUCAAAAGUCUUCAACCCGUGAAAUUCGGUUGACCCCACAAGCCAGCGAAGCCACCGAACGCCCAUCUCCUCUCCAGCCACGUGUCUUCAACAGCGCAGCACCAACGUCUGCGUCACCUUCGUUUCCUCAGCUCCAUGUCGGUUGAUGCCGAAACAGCUUCAAAUCCGCGUGUCUUCGCCAUCAACUUCACGAAGCUGCGAGCAUGAAAUCGAGCGGCCUUCAUCUGGCCGUUCGAAGCCCACCGAAGUCUAGCGUUGUGGGCCCAUCUCAAACGAAAUUCCAACUCGCAGCCCAUUCUUCAAUUGAACUGAAGCCCGCAAGAACAGCCCAGUUCAGUUUUUGUUUCACCCACUUGAAGCCCAAAAGCCUGUAGCAGUUUGGCCCAUCUUCAGUAGUCUUCGAGCCCAUCAAUCCAGCAGCAAGUCUUUAAGCCCAGUCGAAUUUCAUCAGUUGCAACCCAGCCCAGUCCAGUCCAAGUGAGUUAUUUGGUCAAGCCCAAUCCUGCAGUCCAUCAACUGAAAUUUUGAGGCCCAAUUUGUAGCAAAGCAAUUGAAGUCCAGUCCACAACUUGAAGCCCGUCUUCAGCAGGCCCAACCCAAAAGCAAGAAUAAAUCUCAGUUGGGCUGAGAUUUGUUGGGCCCAAGUUUAAGGCCCGGUCCAAGCCCGCCGGUGUCGUUGAAAGCUCGAUUUCGGCCGCCAUCGCGGUGUUUCGGUCUUUGCUUUGCCAAGUGAGUUUUGCUCACUAAUACCUUCUUAGUUUGCUAAUGAUGCUUAAGGGUUAAUUAGAUUUAAUUAAGUGCAAUUAGGUGAUUAGAUUAAAGUAGAUUAGUGAUUAUUAGAUAAUUAUGAUGCAUGUUAGGCAAUUGGAUUGAGCAUUUGGCAAGUAGACAUGUACUGGUAUUUAUUAAAUGCAUCUCGGGAUUUUUCCCGACCCUUAUUGGGUUUCAAUUAGGCAUUAUGGGCCUAAAUUGGAUUUUUAGUAUUUAUUUAUAAUUUUCGAAAUUAUUUAAUUAAUUAUUGAUUUUCCAGAAAUUCGGCAGGAUAGCCGACAAUCGGAAUUUUAUGCUGAUUGUCGUGGCGUAGUCUGUUUAUUUAAUUGAGUUUUAUUUUGUGCUAAAUUGAAUUAUUUGUGAAAUUGAGAAUUAUUCUUUAAUUGAAUAAUCUUUGGUUAUUAAUUGAAAAAUAACUAGGCAUCGGUUGAUAAUGCCUAAAAUGUUUUGGUGGAAUAUAGAAAAUGGUGAGAUUUAUAGAAAUGAAAUUAUGAUAUUUUGGCUAAGGCUGACCGUGUACCCACACAUGACUAUUUUCAUCGGGAAUGAUAAAAUGGUGAUUUGAUUAAAUGAUCAAUUUUCAGCAUACUAUGAAAGUAUGUCUGGCAGCUUUUGGUGAGCAUAUAUAAUUUUUAGCAUACUAUGAAAGUAUGGCUGGCAGCUUCUGGUAAGCAUAAAUAAUAUACUAUAUGAGUAUAAUUACGGCAGCUUAUAGUGAGCUAUAGUAUACUAUAUUGAUAAUUGCGGCAGCUUCUGGUAAGCUAUAGUAUAUUGAUAAUUGCGGUAGCUUCUUGUGAGCAUAAAUAUUAUACUAUAUGAGUAUAAUUGUGGCAACUUCUGGUGAGCAUAUAUAUAUUAUUUUCGGUAUACUAUAAAAGUAUGACUGGCAGCUUUUAGUGAACAUAAUAAACAUAUCAGAUCAAUGAAUUUGGCAGCUUCUGGUGAGCAUAUUAUUAUAUCAGAUCAAUGAAUCUGGCAACUUCUGGUGAGCAUAUUAUUAUAUCAUAUUAGUGGAUUUGGCAGCUUCUGGUGAGCUAUACUAUCUAUAUAUCGGCUAAAGUGAACAGUCCUAGAUUAUGGUCGGACUCAUAGAUAGUAUUGAUUGAGAUGACCGGGGAAUGGUCAUGUUGACAUGUAAUCAACUAGGUCGAUUGAUCGAUGAUUCGAUAUAAGUGUGGAUUUAUUGUGAUUCAAUGGUUCGAUAUGAUGUUGUGAAUUGAUUGAUUGAAUGGAAAUGACCGUGAGUGGUCUUGUUGGCGUGUAAUUGAUUAGGUCAAUUUGAUCGAUGCUUCGAUCAGUGAUGUGAUUGCUUGGGUGCCUAUUUGAUCUGUGCUAAUAUGCAGGUGGAAUCUGAGGCCAAGGUAAGUCCUUUGACUCAUGUUGUGCAUAGGCAGCCCUAAGGUGUAUUAGUUUACUAAUCGGGUUUUAGGGAGUAAAAUUUGCUGAGACGUAGUCUCAUCCCGGUUGUGGGACAACAUUUCAGGACCCUGAUGAGGAAUCUGAGGAGAAAGAACCCGAAGAGGAGUAUCUGGAGGAGAACCCCAAGGAUGAUCUAGAGUAGGAUCCUGAUGAGAAUUGAGACUCUACUCCUAUCUGAUGACUUUUGCUGUGGAACCUAAUUGAGUAGAAACUGACCUUUUUAGCAUGGCUUGUAUAUGUACAUGUAUGACUGAGUUGUUAUAUAUAUACAUAAGGGUGUUGGUUUUCAGGUUCAAGUUUAUAGUCCUACUUGUAUAUCCCAUUGCUUUAUUGUUUGGGGAUUUUUAAUACUGCUUCCGCAUGUGCUAUUAAAAAGAAAAGGGUCGGCGAUAUGUAGUCCUGGGAUAUCGCAUUUAAAAAUCGACCAAGGUAAGGGAUGUACGCGUGCCUGAGGAUUAGGGCGUGACAUGGGAUAGGAAGAAGCAGGAACCUAAAUCACCGCCAAAACACUUCUUUAUAAACACAUAAGGUUUAUAUACAACAUCAAUCUACAGAAGACCGUCUCAACAAAAAGGGAACUAUCCUAUGACCAGCUAGUCAGACACAUUCGUUGAUCCUUCGGUCUCCACAGGUUCCAUGGGCGUUGGGUCCUCCACCACACCAUCAUGAGGGUCUGCUGCACUCUCACCUAGAACGGCAUCUACUAUCACAGCGGGAACCUCAAAACCCCGAAGGGGACCCACACAAAAUUCAUUGGGUCCAAAGCGAAACCACACCCUAAAUCGAUGAGGUACCCUCUGAGGUAAACCCUCUUUGACCCAAACAGUGGUUACUACAAGUUCGUAGACCUAGUGACUUUCGGGAUCACGGUAGUUAAAAACCCGCUCGGUAACCCUCAUUGGCCAACAAAAACGCUCAGGAGGAGUAGCCAUCUACGGACCUGAAAAAGUUGAGCCGACGACGGGGUGAGAUAUUGUCUCAGCAAGUUCACCUUGUAAACUCCGAAUAUGAAGGAAAUAUGCCUAGAGGCCUAGCCACACAAAUUAGAGGACUUACCUUGCCUCAGUUCCUUCCUACAUGUCAGUAUAAAUUUAUAUUCAAUCAUUGCUUACACAAGCAUGAACUACCGACACACAUCGGUCUAUCAAUUCAAUCAAUCACUGCUCACAGAAGUAUGAACUACCGACACACAUCGGUUCAUCAAUUCAAUAAAUCACUGCUCACACAAGUUGACAUACACUAUUGCUCACCCAAGCUGACUUCUAUCAAUGCUUACACAAGCUGACAUAGAUCAUUGAGAUCAUUACUCACACAAGCUGACUUUUAUUGAUGCUCACACAAGCUGACUAAUCAUUGCUCUCACAAGCUGAUUUAUCUCAAUGCUCUCACAAGCUAACUUUUCAUUGGGCUCAAACGAGCUAUCCAAUCAAUACUAGUCACACAAGCUGCUAUGGUACUUAAAAAUCACAUUCGGUGUCAAAACCCGACACCUGGUAUUUUCGAGUUAAAUACCAAAACUUUACCAACAUCACUUAAUUUCACAAUAUAACAUUCAAUUACAGAAAUUAAACAUACCACUGCGAUCAGCUCGAAAUUCUAUCGAGUGGCUCUCCCGGUAUAAUUCCUGAAAAAUAUUAAUUAAUUAAUAAUUAAAUAAAUUUCAAAAAUUAAUUGAAUUUUAAAUAUAAAAUAAUAUUUAAUUUAAAUAAUUAAUUAAAUGAAAUAAUUAAUUAAAAGUUUAAUCAUGCUUACACUAAUCUAAUUGCAUAAUUAAACUAAUUAAUCUAUUCCCUAAACUAAUCAUUCAUCUAAUCUAAUUAACAUUUAAAUAAGCUAAUCUAACCACCUAAACAUGCUUAGCCUAAUCUAAACACUCCUUAAGCGUAAUUAACUCCCUAAGUAGAGUUUAGUGAGUAAACUCACUGGAUUAAUGUUCCGAUGAGUCCACGCCGACGGCAACGCCAAGGCGGGCGACAAACCUCCUCGCGGCGACACCAACCAAGGCUUGGAAGGGCUUGAAAACGGGCCUUGAAGUCUUAAGACCCUUGCUGUCUUCGGCCUUUGUUUGCUGGACCAAAGGGCUGCUCGAGCGGCUUGAAGUGGCGAGGAGGGACGGUGGAGGUUGCAGCGGCCUAGGCGGGUGACUCCAGUAGUUGACCGAUGGCCUGAGGAGCUCAGGGGACACGAUUGGACAUGAGAGAAGGCGCAGAACAACGGCUGGGUGCGAGGAUAGCAGACGGUGCACGCGGGCGAGCAGGCGCGAGUGGCGGCGGUCCGGUGGCCUUAGCUGGCUGUUCCCGGGGAUUGGACGGCGGCGGUGACUGCUCAGGCGACCUUGACAACAACUAAGGGGACUCGGGGGACGGUGAAGAGGUGUGGACUAGGCAGGAUGAGUGGGUGCAGCUCACUGGGCGUGACAGCGAGCGAAGGGCAAGUGAGCGGCGACAAGGGGCGCGACAGGCUUGGGCGGUUGCUUGGCUAAAGGGGGAGGAAGGCUGGCCGGUUUCUCUAGUUUUUCAAGCUCUCUAAUGACCUCAACAAUGGAGAAAGCCAAGCUUCAAGGAGGAAGAAGGCUCAGUUGAAGAGGGGGACCCCAAAGUGGCUUCUAAGGCCUCAACACUUGGCCAACACACUCAUCACAUGCCCCCACCAUGUCAGCCCACAUGCUCAGCCAAUUCUCUCUCCCCAAGUUUCCUCAAGAAGCUUCUUAAGGUGUCCAAAAUGUUGUGUCCCCCAUGGCCUACGAAUUUGGACAUUUACACAUCAAUUCCAUUCAAUUCCCAUUCAAUUCUCAUCCAAUUGAGCUCAAUUUGUUGUCCAAAAAUCCAACCAAGGUGCCAUCAUCCUAAUCAACCUUUUUCCUUACCAAUUAGUCCAACUUGAAUCCCAAGAAUGUGACAAAAAAUGGGCCUACGAAUUUCCCGAUCCAAAAUGCUCGUACUUUGGAUUUUUCGCUGAAAAUCUCGGUUUGUAGAAAAAUCUUUGGAGGGUGAGUCGACGUUCCUAAAAUGACUCGUGACAUGAUAGAACUUCUAAUUUUUGAAAUCGGGUUCAACUUCGCGGUUAAUUUCAUUCUAACAUGAUUUUAGCGCGUCCUAACCUACUGAGUAGCUUUUAGGAACUUUUCAUGCAAUUGACCCGUGGUUGAUUAUUUUCAAGCCACAAAGUACAUCUUCAACACAUUGGCGACUCUCGGUUAUCUUAAAAAUCUCGAGAUUUAUACAGGGUACCAAAACGACAGAGAAAUCGGUCUAGUGCCGAUCGACAAGAAUUUUGUAAUUAGGAGGAAUCACCCACACUUAAUCACAUACAUUUCUCGGGUUGACCUAUUUCCGGUCUCUAAUCAGUUUGUGCCGUAAUGACCCUUGCAGAUUAGUACAGUCGAGCAGUCGAUUCCUGGUCGAAUUCUUAAGUCUAUUGUGUUUCGAUUCCUUAACGGCUUCAUCCGGUAGGUUAGUUAUCUCAUGAGUGGCAUACUUAGAGAAAAGAGCUAUAGGCGCGUCGAUGAAAAGACCAACUCAUUCAAUUGAAAACAUAAUUGGAAAAUCAGGAUGUCACAACUCUUCCCCUCUUAUAAAAAUUUUGUCCUCAAAAUUUAAACCAUUACAAUUCCUUAAACAAAAAGGUGGGUGUACAGUCGUGUCAUCGACUCUUCACUCUCCCAGGUUGCUCCUUCAGUGCUGUGGUGUUGCCAGACCACUUUGACCAAAGGGAUCAUCUUGGUGUGCAGAACUUGUUCUUUCCGAUCCACAAUCUAAACCGGGCUUUCCACAUACGACACUCUGUCAUCCACGUCUAAAUCCUUAAAAUUCAGCAUGUGGGUUGGGUCAGGCUCAUACUUCCUUAACAUCGACACGUAAAAGACGUCAUGCACUUGUGCCAACCUCGGCGGUAAUGCAAGACGAUACACUAGGAUCUCGAUUCUUUCAAGAAUCUCAAAUGGACCUACGUACCUAGGACUCAGCUUUCCUUUCUUGCCAAAGCGCGAAGUAUCCCUCAUUGGUGACACCUUCAGAAAAAAGUGAUCACCAACUUGGAAUUCCAAAGGCCUUCGACGCUUAUCGGCGUAGCUUUUCUAGUGGCUCUUAGCGGUCUUUAAUAUGUCUCUGAUGACGGCAAUUGCAUCCACUGACUACUGAACUAACACUGGGCCUGUAAUCUUUCGUUCUCCGACCUCAUCCCAACACACUGGCGUUCUGCACGCCCUGCCAUACAACGCUACGAAAGGAGCCAUCUGAAUGCUCUGCUAGUAGCUGUUGUUAUAGGCAAACUCAACAAGAUGAAGCUGUUCCUCCCAGCUUCCCUUGAAAUCCAACAUGCAAGCUCGCACCAUGUCUUCGAGGGUUUGAAUUGUCCUCUCAGACUGGCCAUUCGUUUGAGGAUGAUAAGUCGUACUAUACUGCAGCUUCGUUCCUAAAGCGGUCUGCAAACUCUUCUAGAAGGCAGCUGUAAACCUCGGGUCUCGAUCUGAGGUCAUUUUCACUGGCACUCCAUGUAGACGAACAAUCUGACGCACGUACAACUCUGCGUGCCUGUCCAAAUCAAGGUCCUUUCAACUGCAAUGAAAUGAGCCGACUUCGUCAGUCUAUCGACCAUUACCCAAAUGGAAUCAUUACCCCUCUGACUCCUUGGUAAGCCUGUCACAAAAUCCAUUGUGAUGUGCUCCCAUUUCUACUCGGGAAUCUAGAGAGGUUGCAGAAGUUCUCACGGCUUAUAGUGUUGUGCCUUCACUUGCCGACACAUCAGACACUUGAUAACAUGCUUGGCGAUGUUCACUUUCAUACUGGACCACUAAUAGUAUUGACGUAGAUUCUGAUAUAUUUUCGUACUGCCAGGAUGAAUGCUGUAGCUGCUACGAUGAGCGUUCGAUAAAAUCUCUUCCUUGAGCGCUACACCGUCAGGUACACAUAAUCGUCCUCGAAACCUCAAUAUUCCGUUCUCAGAAACCUGAAAGUCAGCAUUCUUCUUUUCGGUAUUCUCCUAUAGAAUCUUAUGAAUCUCUAUGUCUGUCCACUGAAGCAUCUUGAUCUUUAUCUGCACUUACGAUUCAAUUCUGAGGGUGGCCAUAAGAUUCGAAAGGUGGCCUACCUCAAAUUUGAAACCCGAAUCUCGAGCUUUCUCAAGUAAAGCCCAUUCCUUGAGCACCAUAUGCGUGACUGAAGAUUUCCGACUUAGUGCAUUAGCAACUUUGUUUGCCUUUCCAGGGUGAUACAAGAUAUGACAGUCGUAAUCCUUCAAGAGUUCCAUCCAGCUACGCUGUCUCAUAUUCAAUUCCUUCUAAGAGAAUAAGUACUUGAGACUUUGAUGGUCAAUGAAGAUCUAGAAUCUUUUUCCACAAAAAUAAUGUCUCCAAAUCUUCAGAGCGAAAAUGAUUGCUGCGAGUUCCAAGUCAUGCAUCGGGUAAUUCAGUUCAUGAGGCCUCAACUGACGGGACACAUAUGCAACAACCCUACCAUGUUGCAUCAGCAUGCAACCCAGUCCUCUAAAUGAUGCAUCACUGUAGAUCUCAUAUCCUCCAGGACCAGAAGGAAUGGUUAGCAUAGGUGCGAUAGUCAGCUUCUGCUUAAGCUCUUGGAAACUACGCUCGCACUUGUCUGUCCACACCUCGAGUCAACGAUGACGCUAAAGCUGAAAACCCCUCUACGAACCUUCUGUAGUACCCUGCUAAAUCCAAGAAACUUCUGAUCUCUGUCACUGUAGUCGGUCUUGGCCUGUUGAUAACUGCUUCAAUCUUGGCGGGGUCCACAGAAAUUCCUUCGCCUAAAAUCACGUGACCUAGGAACGCUACACGAGUCAGCUAAAACUCGCACUUGCUGAACUUAGUAUACAACUCAUGACUUCGCAAAGUCUGAAGCACUAUCCUUAAGUGCCUUUUGUGCUUCUCGGGACUACUAGAGUACACCAUGAUAUCAUCAAUAAACGCGAUCAUGAACUGAUCCAGAUACUUUUUGAACACACGAUUCAUUAGAUCCAUAAAAGCAGCUGGGGCGUUCAUCAAACCAAACGGCAUUACAGUGAACUCAUAAUGGCCGUAUCGAGUACGAAACGCUGACUUCGGUAUGUCCUCAUUUCUGAUCCUUAGUUGGUGAUAUCCCGUCCUCGAGUCAAUCUUUGAAAAUAUCGACGCUCCUGGCAACUAAUCAAAUGAAACGUUGAUCCUUGGUAGUGGAUACUUGUUCUUGAUUGUCACCUGAUUGAGUUGACGAUAUUCGAUGCACAAACGCAACGAACCAUCUUUUUUCUUUACAAAGAAAACUGGUGCUCCUCAAGGUGAUGCACUGGGAUGUAUUAACCUCUUAUCCAACAAUUCCUGCAUCUGCAUCUUCAAUUCCUUCAACUCAGAUAAAGCCAUCUGGUAAGGAGCCUUAGAGAUUGGCUCUGUCUCGAGUGCUAACUUGAUCACAAACUCUAUUUCCCUCUCUAGCGGUAAACCCAACAAUUCCUUUGAAAGCACAUCCUGAAACUCUUGGACCAUUGAGAUGUCUUGAAUCUUCAGUUCCUCGACUGUCAUAUCCACGACGGUCGCCAAGUAACCUUGGCAACCCCCGUCUAACAAACAGGUUGCCUCAAGCGACAAGAUUAAGGUAAUCGAGGGUCCUCCUUGACUUCCAAUAAACUCAAAGCUCUCACCCCCUAACGGGUUAAACUGAAUCACUUUGCAAUAGCAAUCCAUCUUAGCUCUUUGCUUGGUAAGCCAGUCCAUGCCAAUUAUUACAUCAAAAUCAUACAUGACUAGGACUAUCAAGUUUAUCCUCCCCUCUUGCUCACCAAUCACUAACUUGCAACCAGAACAACCCCAUGCAGCUAACACCUUAUCUUUUAACGGUGUAUAUAUGCUAACCACUUACUCCAACAAUUUAGGACUCAAUCCUACCAGUUUAACAAACUGCUCAGCUAUAAAAGGAAUGAGUGGCACCAGGGUCAAAUAAAGCAUAUGCAGCAUAGUCAUUCAACGAGACCAUACUUGUAAUCACAUCAGGCGCAUCCUCAGCCUGUCCUCUCAUGAUAAAGUACAUCGUUCCAUGUGCCGGAGGUCGGUUCAGUCCACCCUGUGGUGCGAUUUGCGACGCAAACCCCCUAUUCUAACCCAUUGGUGGUGGUGGCGGUAAUUGCUGUGGUCCCCUCUGCUUUAUGGGACAGUCUCUGGCCAGGUGACCUUGUUGGCCACACUCAAAACAAGAUCCCAUCCUGAAAUGGCAAGGGACUGAUCCAUGUCGCCUUCCACACAAGCGACACACGGCAUUCUGACUUGGUGCUGACUUUCCAAUUCCACCCUUCCUGUUGGGCGGAAUAGGAUAUCUUCCUCCAGUCAUGGGUCUCUUCCCAAACCGGUUUCCGUCUCUGUUCGAACUAAACCUUGAACUAAAUGCAGCAGUCUGUUCACUCAAGUUCCUCUUAAUCAGCUAGGCCCGACCAUAAACUUCAUUAUAAUCCUUUAGGUCGAAUGGCACUAACGGAUUCUUCAGCUCUGGUCGGAGGCCAAUCCUGAACCUCCAAGCUUUCUCUUCUAGAUCCUCUAUUAGUCUUGGAGCGUACUGAGACAGCUCUAUGAACUUGGCUUCAUACUAAUCCACAGUUAGCAUGCCUUGACGAAGGCACUGGAAUUCCUCCAUCUUCUACUCUCAGGCGCUACCCGAAAAGUAUUUACCAUUAAAUGUUAUGAGGAAAGUGUUCCACACCGAGACUACGCCUUCAGGAAAUAUCGUGCCUCUGGUGGCUCUCCACCAAGUAUUAGUGUUACCCUACAGCUGGUAUAUUGCAAGGACAACCUUUUCCUCCUCACUGCACAUCAACAAUGCAAAAGCCUUUCCAGGUCUUGGACCUAGAGUGACACAGCUUCAGGAUCUCCUGCGCCAUUGAACCUCAGCGGGUUCAGCUUCAAGAAUUGCUCCACGAGCUUAUGAAUAGGCCUCUCUCGGUACAACUACAACCUCAAGCGGAACUUUCGCAGGAGAAGCAGCGGCAACAACGGCAGCAGUAGCGGCAGCUUGAGCGGCGACGGCUUGAUUCUGGGCCUGCUGUCCCAUCAGAUUUCUUAUCGCCUCAAGCGCUUGCAUGAUCCCUUUGAUUUUGGGAUCACCAAGGGCUACUACCCCAGCACCAACAGGAGGCAGUGCUACUCCACUAGCGCUGGCCUUAGCCUGCGCUCUACCACGGCCACCUCGGGUACCGACCCUGGCCGGCGUACUACCUUGAGUAACUGGACCUAUGGUCCUCUUUCUAGGAGUCCUCUGCUCCUGAUCACUCAUCUACAGGAUCCUUAUAGAUACAUGUUUUCCAAUUCCAAUACCAUAUUAGAAUUUGAGUGAUCCCACACCAAACAAUUUACCAUUCAGCUAACAAUCACAUGCAUCGGCAUGAAAUAGAGGUCGUUUCUACUUACUAUCCUAAGAAUCUAUCACACCUUAUCACUCCAACUAUCGACCAACUCUGACACCACUCCGAGGUGGGGAUGUCACGCCCCGAUCCUCAAGCACGUGUCCAUCCCUCAGUGGUCAAUAAAUUUGCAAUGUUCCAGGACGCGUCGCCAACCUAUUCAUUUUAAUACGCAUCCAAAAGCGAAACAAUACCCUUGACAACAAAUGCUUGGUGUCAUGCCUCGAAUGUCGAGCGCGCGCACAUCCCACUGCGAUCAAUACAAAUGUGACGUUCCUAGGAGCCGUCGUCGACCCAUUUAUUUUUAAUGCACAUACGAAAGCGAAACAAAUACCCCUAACAACAAACGGCAUGAGAUAGGAAAGUAGGGCACAUUUCACAAAAGCAUACUUUUAUAAACACCGGGUUUAGAUACAAAAAUGAGUUUGGUCAAAAGUCUACAAAAAGGUUGGCUCUCAAAAAGAUGUUGUCCUACGAUAUACUAGUUGGACACAUACGCCGAUCCUUUGGACUCUACCUCCAUAGACUCCGGGGUUGCUGGUCCUCCACGGCCACCAUCUAAGGACCUAAAAAUUUAGCCUACGACGGGGUGAGACAAUGUCUCAGCAAGUCCAUCCCCUAAACCCCUAUUAGGAAGGAAAUACGCCAUCAGGGCGCUCUAGCCACAUAACCACACAAUUAGAACAGAUAACUUACCUCGCCUCAGUUCCUUCCUGUACGUCAGCACAGUUCAUUUCACAAUUGCAUAUAAUUAAUGCAUAUAACAAUUGAAACACCUCAAUUACUCAAUAAAUCACAAGAGUCCCAAUUAUAAGGCCAAACCGUUAUGACACAUUCCGUACUAUGUCACACAGUCUUGUCUCAUAAUUAGACGCAUCAAACUCAAUCAAUCAUGCGUUCCAAUUGUUAAUUAAACCCCUCUAGGGUAUUGUUGACUCCCAUGUUUGGCGGUCUAUUGGCGUAACCAGGCAUCGUCCCUUCCCCAUUGAGCAUGGCUACGUCUCUCAUAGACGGCUUUCUCGAAGGAACAUAGGUCUAGAAUCUACUGCGACCCAAUACCCUAAUGCAUGGUUAACCCGAAAAGGGAUUUAGUAAUGUCCGGCGUAAAUGCUCGAGACGGAUUCUCUUUAACCAACACACGACCAAUCAAUCUCGGCCCAGGAUACUGUGUAUUGCACACAAAUGCCUAAAUUAAAAUAGUGAUCCUGGCCUAUUUUAUUCAUCUUAAAAACAUUCGGGAAAAUAGUUGUGUGUGGGUACACAAUCAAUUCGAACCAGAAAAACUGAUACAUUUUCUUUUCAAACCCCACUAUUUGAUAUAGUACUUAAAAUCCAUUUUCGGUGUCAAAACUCGACACCCGGGAUUUUCUGAUAAAUAUCAUAUUUUCACAAUCAUUACUUAAUUUGCACAAUCCAUCAAUCAAUUGCAUAAUCUGAACACACCAUAGCAGUCAGCACGAAAUUUCAGUCACCGACUAUCUCGGUCUAAUUUUCGAAAAAUAAUAAAUGAUUAAAUAUAUUUUGAAAUUAAAUUAAAUAAUAUUAUAUUAUAUUAAUAUAAAUUAAUAUAAUAAUAUUUAUAAAUUUGAAAUAAUUAAUUAUUUUAAAUUAAUUAAGGCCUAAUCAAGAUUACACUAAUCUAAUCACCUAAUUAGCCUUAAUUAAUUAUCCACUACACUAAUCACAUCCCUUAAUCUAAUUAAGAAUUAAUUAAACUAAUCUGACCACCUAACCAUGCUUAGCCUAAUCUAAACAACCCUUAAGCAUAAUUAACCUCAUAAGCAAGGUUUAGUGAGUAAACUCAUCGGUUUAGCGUUCCGGUGAGUCCAUGGCGACGGCGACACCUAGGCGAGCGACAAUCCUCCUAGUGACGACACCAAGCGAGGUCAGAAAGGGCUUGAAAACGGGCCAGAAAGACCUCACGGUUUGCUAGUUUUCUGCUUCUGUUCUUAGCUGAACUGCAGAGAGAGAACCAGCGGCUAAACGGCAAGGAAGGGCUGAUCGGAGCUCCAGCGAGUGGGUGGCCGGCAAUCGGCGGCACCUGGGGUCAAGGGGGGACGUGCUGGUGGUUGGGACGGGCGGUGGAAGGGUUGAAAUGGGGAGAAAAUUGUGAAAACUGCAAAAUAGUGCAAGCGGGUAAGGGAUCGACGGACCGGUAAGCGGCGGCUUGUUUCUGGCGGACGGGAUGGCCAGCGGCUCCGUUCGGCGCGAGGCCGGGCUCUUCCAUACGGUUUGGAUGUGAUGAGCACGGUGGUGGGUGGCACGAAGGCUGAUUCGCACGAGAAGGCAACUUUUAACUCAGAUUUUUGGAGAAAUGUCAGCUAGAGCAGAAACUAGAAGGAAGGAAAAUAGGGGAGGAAAGAGGGUUUGGUGCCUUUAGUGGUGGUCGACGGUGAAGGGGGCUGGUCUACUCGGUUUUCUCUACUUCUCUUGAGCUUCCAAGGAACCUCAACAAUGGAGAAAGGUGGGUUUCAAGGAGGAAGAAUGCUGUUGAAAAGAGGGGGUCCCCAAAGGCUUCCUAGGCCUUCAACACUUGUCCAAUUCUCCCAUCUCUUGCCCCCACCAGCCUUGGCCCUCAUCAGCCAUUUUCCUCUCCUUGGCUUUCUCAAGAAGCUUGCCAAAUGAUCCAAAAAGUUGUGCACCAUGGCGGCUACGAAUUUGUAACAUUUCCCCUUCAAUUCCAAUCAAUUCUCACUCAAAUUAAUCCAAUUGAAGCCCAAACAAAUCAGCCAAGGUGUCCUCGUCCAUCUUAUGAUUUUUCCCCAUCAAUUGAUCCAACUUGACGGCCAAAGUUGCGAUAAAAAAAUGGGCCUACCAAUUUCCCGAUCCAAAAUAACCAUACUUUGAUUUUUCGUCGAAAAUCUCGGUUUGCAGGAAAAUCUUCUGAGGAUGAGUCGACGUUCCUAAAAUUAUUUGUGACAUGAAAGAACUUUAUCGGGUUCAAUUCACGGUUAAUUUCAAUUUGGCGUGGUUUUAGCGCGUCCUAAUUUACAGGGUAGCUUUUAGGAUUUUUUGGCGUAUUUGACCUGUGGUUGAUUAUUUUCAAGCCACAAUGUACAUCUUCGAUACAUUGGUGACUUUCGGUUGUCAUGGAAAUCUCGAGGUUUCAAAUACGGAUACAAAGUACAGAAACGGCAGAAAAAUUGAUCUAGUGCCGUUCGACGAGAAUUUUGUGAUUAGGUGGAAUCACCCACAUACUAAUCACAUACCUCUGUCGGAUCGACCUAUCUUCGAUCUUUGGUUGAUUUUGACAGUGCCGUAAUGACUUUUGCAAAUCAGUAUGGUCGAGCAAUCGGUUUCUGGUUGAAUUCUCAAGUCAAUUGCGUUUAUAUUCCUUAACGGCUUCACCUGAUAGACUAGUUAACUCGUAAGUGACCAAUUAAGAGAAAAAUGCUAUAGGCGCAUCGAUGAAAAGCCCAUUUCAUCUCAUCGAAGACAGACUUGAAAAUCAGGAUGUUACACUUGGGAUAGGAAGAAGCAAGAACCCAAAUCACCACCAAAACACUACUUUAUAAACACAUAGGGUUUAUAUACAAUAGCAAUCUACAAAAGACCGGCUCAACAAAAAGGGAACUGUCCUAUGACCAGCUAGUCAUGCACGUUCGCCGAUCCUUCGGUCUCCACAGGCUCUGUGGGCGUCAAGUCCUCCACCACACCAUCAUGAGGGUUUGUUGCACUCUUGCCUAGAACGACAUCUACUACCACAUCAAGAACUUCAAAACCCUGAAGGGGACCGACACGAAAUUCAUUGGGUCCAAAGCGAAACCACACCCUAAAUUGAUGAGGUACCUUAUGAGGUAAACCCUCUUCGACCCAGACGACGGUUACUACAAGUUCGUAGACCCAGUGACUUCCGGGAUCACGGUAGUUAGAAACUCGCUCGGUAACCCUCAUCGGCCAACCAAAACACUCAGGAGGAGCAGCCAUCUAUGGACCUAAAAAUGUUGAGCCCAUGACGGGGUGAGACAUUGUCUCAGCAAGUUCACCCCCGUAAACUCCGACUAGGAAGGAAAUAUGCCUAGAGGCCUAGUCACACAAAUCAGAGGACUUACCUCACCUUAGUUCCUUCCUGCACGUCAGUACAAAUUCAUAUUCAAUCAUUGCUCGCACAAGCAUGAACUACCAACACACAUCGAUCUAUCAAUUCAGUCAAUCACUACUCACAGAAGCAUGAACUACUGACAGACAUCGGUUUAUCAAUUCAAUAAAUCGCUACUCACACAAGCUGAGGUACACUAUUGCUCACCCAAGCUGACUUCUAUCAAUGCUCACACAAGAUGACUUUAAUUUAAAUAUAAAAUAAUAUAAUUAAAUAAUAUUCAUUUUCGACCAACAUCACUCAAUUUCACAAUACAACAUUCAAUUACAGAAAUUAAACAUACCACUGCGAUUAGCUCGAAAUUCUAUCGAGCAGCUCUCUCGGUAUAAUUCCCGAAAAAUAUUAAUUAAUUAAUAAUUAAAUAAAUUCCGAAAAUUAAUUUAAUUUAAAUAUAAAAUAAUAUAAUUAAAUAAUAUUUAAUUUAAACAAUUAAUUAAUUAGAAGUCUAAUCAUGCUUACAUUAAUCUAAUUGCAUAAUUAAACUAAUUAAUCUAUCCCUAAACUAAUCAUUCAUCUAAUUUAAUUAACAUUUAAAUAAGCUAAUCUAACCACCUAAACAUGCUUAGCCUAUUCUAAACACCCCUUAAAUAUAAUUAACUCCCUAAGCAGAGUUUAGUGAGUAAACUCACUGGAUUAACGUUCCGAUGAGUCCACGGCGACGGCAACGCCAAGGCGGGCGAUAAACCUCCUAGCGACGACACCAACCAAGGCUCGGAAGGGCUUGAAAAUAGGCCUUGAAGUCUUAAGACCCUUGCUGUCUUCGGCUUCUGUUUGCUGGAACGAAGGGCUGCUCGAGCGGCUUGAAGUGGCAAGGAGAGACGGUGGAGGUUGCAGCGGCUUAGGUAAGUGACUCUGGCGGCUGAACGGUGGUGGCGCGGCUUCGACAGUGGCCUGAGGAGCUCGGGGGACGUGGCUGGAUGUGAGAGAAGGCACGAAACAACGGCUAGGUGCGAGGACAGCAGAUGGUGCACGCGGGUGAGCAGGUGCGAGUAGCGUCGGUCCAGUGGCAUUAGCGGGUUGUUCCGAGGACUGCACGGUGGCAGCAAUUGCUCAGGCAACCUUGACAACAACUAGGGAGACUCGGAGGACGGCGAAGAGGCGUGGACCAGGCGGGAUGAUCGGGCACAGCUCGCUGGGCGCGACGGCGAGCGAAGGGCAAGCGAGCAGCGACAAGGGGCGUGACAGGCUCGAGCGACUACUUGGCUGAAGGGGGGAGUAAGGUUGGCCAGUUUCUCUGGUUUCUCAAGCUUUCCAAUGACGUUAGUAAUGGAGAAAGCCAAGCUUCAAGGAGGAAGAAGGCUCAGCUGAAGAGGGGGACCCCAAAGUGGCUUCCAAGGCCUCAACACUUGGCCAACACACUCAUCGCAUGCCCCCAGCAUGUCAGCCCACAUGCUCAACCAAUUCUCUCUCCCCAAGCUUCCUCAAGAAGCCUCCCAAGGUGUCCAAAAUGUUGUGUCCCCCAUGGCCUACGAAUUUGGACAUUUACACAUCAAUUCCAUUCAAUUCCCCUUCAAUUCUCAUCCAAUUGAGCUCAAUUUGUUGUCCAAAAAUCCAACCAAGGUGCCAUCAUCCUAAUCAACCUUUUUUCUCACCAAUUAGUCUAACUUGAAUCCCAAGAAUGCGACCAAAAACGGACCUAUGAAUUUCCCGAUCCAAAAUGCCUGUACUUUGGAUUUUUCGCCGAAAAUCUCAGUUUGUAAAAAAAUCUUCGAAGGGUGAAUUGAUGUUCCUAAAAUGACUUGUGACAUGAUAGAACUUUCAAUUUUUGAAAUCGGAUUCAAUUUCGCAGUUAAUUUUAAUCUAGCGCGAUUUUAGCGCGUCCUAACCUACCGGAUAGCUUUUAGGAACUUUUCGUGCAAUUGACCCGUGGUUGAUUAAUUUCAAGCCACAAAGUACAUCUUCGAAACAUUGGCAACUCUUGGUUGUUGUGAAAAUCUCGAGAUUUCAAAUAUGGACACGGGGUACCAAAAUGACAAAGGAAUCCAUCUAGUGUCGAUCGACAAGAAUUUUACACUUAAUCACAUACCUUUGUUAAGUCGACCUAUCUUCGGUCUCUAAUCGGUCUGUGUCGUAAUGACCCUUGCAGAUUAGCAUGGUCGAGCAGUCGAUUCCUGGUCGAAUUCUCAAGUCUAUUGCAUUUCGAUUCCUUAACGGCUUCACCCGAUAGGUUAGUUAUCUUGUGAGUGGCCAACUCAGAGAAAAGAGCUAUAGGCACGUCAAUGUAAAGCCCAACUCAUUCAAUUGAAAAUAGAAUUGGAAAAUCAGGAUGUUACAGAAGACGAUACCAAGAAUGCACUGCUCCCAGUUAGAAUUGAAGACACAACAUCGAAAUUUGAUCGAAAACAUUGGACGGUGGAAACAACACCUAGUAGACACUGCUCCUACAUAGAUAUGAGGACACAACAUCGAAAUCUAAUUGACAACGUUGAACGGUAGAAACAACACCUAAUAGAUACUACUCCUAAAUGGAUAUGAAGACAUAAUGUCGGAAUUUAAUCGUCGACGUUGGACGGUGGAAACAACACCUAAUAGGUACUGCUCCGAAAUGGAUAUAAGGACACAACGUCGGAAUUUAAUUGACAACAUUGGACGAUAGGAUAGCAUAGGAAUCUAAUCAACAGCUCUACCUAGGAUAUAGACAUUCAUCACAAUUGAAUUUACGACGGGAAUCUACAGUUACAGCUAAACUAAACUAGGCUAAGAUAAAAGGGUAAGAUAAAGGAAUUUUGUGUGUUGCUCGGGGGUGGCAGGGGAGGCUCUCUAUUGGAUUGGCUACGGUAUUUAUGGGCCAAUUUGGCAAGUGUUGGUGGCCAGUUGUUUCCUCCUUAAAAGUCACUCCAUGUUCUUUGCUUAACCGCUUUAUCCAUAUCUCGUUGCCUUAUUACCUGUUCAGUAAGUAUUACCACUCAUUUUAUUUUGGCGCCUUUUCAAGCAUCAACCGUUCCUGCCCAAAUUUUGCCAUCAAUUUUAUUUGAAUUCUAUGUCUUCAACAUCAUCUCUUCGCUUGGACACAUGGAAAUCAACUACUUUAUCAUUGAAUAAUAUAUCUAUGCUAGUAGGCCCAUCAAAAUCUAGCCCAAGGUCUCUUGAAAUCCUUGGCCAUCCUCCGUUUUCAUGAGAGACAUGGGUUGGCCUGAUGUAGAUCACAUGCCGCGUGGCAGUGAGGAUGAUUUCAAAUAUUUUCAUCCCUUGUAACCAGCACAUGGUAAUAAGGGUAAUUUGAGUGUCAAUAUCCCAUUUAUUUGAUGUUUUAUCUAAUGGAGCUUUCACGUCGUAUGAAAUUGCAACUACCGGCUCUAAGAAUGGGAUAUGACGAGGUCUUUUGACCAUAAUUAAUGUGGGGAUCGGGACUAGGCGCCCCUUUUUCCCUCCAUCCUAGGGCAAGGGGUGAGCUUGACUGGCAGGUAAUUGCAUUAAAGUUAAUUAAAAAGGAACGUUGCGAUGAUACAAUAGGAGAUAAUUUGAAUGGGAAAUAAAAGUGUGAGGAUCCAAAACAAGCUUGUAGGUUUCAUUCAAUCGACCAAUGGAAACUUCACAAAUCAUUUAAUAAAGAGGAUUUAAUGCAUUUUCCUAGUACAUUUAGCAUUUCUAUAACCUCUAUGAAGAAGGCACCAUUUAAUAUUUUCGGAAGUUCUCAUCAAAUUUCUAAUCAUAACCCAAAAUAAAUAUCUUACUCAUGCAUUUAAUAUUGAACUCACUUGCCCGCAAACAUAAGUUAAAAAAAUUGAGAUUGCAUCAAGCUUGACUACUCGAUUUGGACUUCAAACCAAUUUCGUUUGAAAGGCCAAAAGAAACAAUCAAAAGUAGGUGAGAAAACUUUAACCCAAGACACGGCAGAUGUAGAAGGAAUUUUGUGGAAAGAGAGAAAAGAGUUUCCACAUAACUUUUCCUUUCAAUGUGUUUCAUGUUCAUAUAAAUAAUCGAUGGAGCCACUAUUUGUCAAGAAUAUGAAGGCUUUAUUCUAUAUCUAAGAUUUAAAAAAAAAUAAUAAAAUAUAAGAAGAUGAGUGUUGAGAGCGCACAACAGUAGAUGACAAGAAUAUCACUGCUCGGUCCUCUCGUGAUUGAUGGCAAAUAUAAGGCACCAAUUUGUUCAGUCUCUAGUGUUCGGUCAUUGUUUCCAUGGAAUUCGUAGAAUAUGAGGCACCAAUAUUAAUAUUGCUUUCUAUUCCCUCAAUUUUUUAAAGGAGUGUCCUAUUGGACAGUGCUAUCUUAUAGAUUACUUUUAAUCUACCAAACCACAUGGCAGAUUAGAAGUGAAUAAUAAUCCAUAUUCGAUAAUUAAUGACAAUAAGCCACGCCACUUAUUACACAAAAUUUAUUAAAUAUUCUUAGUGUUUUUGACAUUUCUCUUUCUUGUUUUGGUUGUACAAGUGAAAACUAGCGAGACGUUGAUAAAUGAAUGACACCACUACAUGCACUAUGACUUUACUCAAAUUUGCUAAAUGAAAUGGUUUGCAGUGUGGUAUGCACCCAUUCAAGUUUGUUUGACAAUCAAUCCGAUGAUGCGUACCAAAUAGACAAUCCACUUGAUCUAGAGGUGGUCUUAUGGAUUCACGAGGUGAUUUUUGCCAUAGCACUUUGCUUUACAAGAUUCAAGAAAUAACUCCCAAGGGGUAGGACUUUGUCCCCCAUGACACUUAGUUACAGGGGUGGAAAAAAAAAAAAGAUCUAAAGAGCGAGUUGGCUCAGAUCAAAUGGCCUACAUUUUCAUGUCCGAAGAGGGCCGACAUGUGAUAUAGGACUCCCCCAUAUUCUUUUUCGGGCCGGUCCGCAUUUUCAGCCUGGCAUCCUCAGGAUCUCAGGCUUGAAAUGGCUCGGACCGGUCAAACUGUAUAUUAGAACUAGAAAAAAUUAUAAUAUAAAGAUUAAUAAUUAAUAAUAGAAAAUAUGUUGUUCAUAUUCCGAACACUUUAAUAAAGUCAUAAGUAAGUUAAAAUAUAAACAUAUAAUAUUUUUUUCCAGGCCCAAAGUAUAAUAACUAAUCUAUUUUUAAUUCAUAAAAAAUAAAAAAUCGAGUAAAAAAAACUAAGUUAUAAUUUUUUUCAACAAAAAGGCUUUCUAGUCUCUCUGUCCCCUCGUCUGUACUAUGAAUAGUUUAUUGUAUUAAACAAUGUCAAGAGGUCAAAAUACUUUUCACAACAUGAUCCAGAGCAUUAGUGAAUCGAUUAGUCUAUUCUAAUGCGAAAAUCACUCAUAAUUUUCUUGGAUCUGAGUGCACGGGGAAUGCAAUCUCUUUUCAUUUUGGAAGCAAAAAGCUUUCCGCGUGAUUCACGCACAUUUCUUUUGAGGGGCCAAAGGAAAUUCCCAAGUGCUUUUUUGAUGACUUGACCAAGAAAAGCAUCGGACUAAUUGCACAAUGUAUCGCCCUCAAGAAAAAUAAAAUUGACAUUCGCUUUAGAUAAAGAUCAUGAUCCACGUACAUCACAUCACGGAUUAAAGAAAUUAGAAGUAAAAUGCUUUUGCUUUGCUUUCACAUUUCUAGAUUGAAAAGAUGCCAAAACUUAUUUCAUUCGACUAAAAAAAAGAAGUUUGUUGGAUGACUUUUCCAUCCAAAAAGAGAUUUUGUGGAAAAUCUUUUCCUUUUGGAAAAGGAAAAGAAAUAUAUUAUACAAAAAAGUUAGUUGAUUUGUGAUAAUGAUUUGAUCUUUGUGUUUAUAUUGACAGAGUAAAUAUCAUUAAACUAUCAUUAAACGAGGGUUUUAUUCAUUUUUCUAGAGGUCAUCCGGAGGAGGGUCAUUGUUAAUAUAAGCCACCGACUUGUUCGUCAUGUGACCUCAGACAUUUCAAAAUAGUUUACUAUAAAUUGUAUAGUAUGAAGUUGACCCCUUGAAUCAUUUAUAAGUUGUAUGCAGAUCAUCUUCAAAACUAAAAUCUAUUUGAUCAUCCUUAUAAAGUUCAAAUAUGUUCAAUACCUUUAUGGCCUCAUUAUUUCUUGUGCUUGCAUUCAAAAGAUGUGAAGAGCUUCAAGGAUCGUCGACCAUACUUCAGUGGCAUCUUGAGAGGAUUUUUCAAAGGACAUCUGUUAGAACAAUAUAAUAAGUUAAAUUUUUCUUAUUUGAUCCAACCCCAUUUAUGUUUAUUUCCCCUUCUAAUAUAAUCUUUAGUUUGAUUGAUGGCUUCACACCUGUUAAUGAUAUGUCGCAAGCCACACAGCCGCCUUGUCAUUUAGUAAGAAAUUGCUAGUCAAGUACAUGUAACAGUACUCUUGAAAUAUUUGUCUCAUUAUGCCCACUAAAACAAUACAAGACACUUUAUAUGUUGGGGCAACAUUAAAUUGCUAGUCAAGUACAUGUAACAGUACUCUUGGAAUAAGCGUUAGUUUGUAAAAAGGGUAUAAGUGAUAAAUGGGGCAAGAUCAAUUUAAGGAAAUUUUGUCAGUCUUGUAUAAUUCCCUACAAUCUGUAAUAUGCUUUCUUGGCCAUACUUUUUGGUCAUACUGGUGAUGAAAAUGCCUGUAUAACCCUUAACCUCAGCUCUAUGAGGAGAGGUGAUGUUUGAGUAAGAGGCAAAGUCGGAAGAAGAGAAAUUUUCCCAAACCUCUACUAUGUUCUCCCCGAUGUUCCUAUAAAUCUUUCUUUUUCUAGGUCUAGUGAUAUUGGAAGGAUAAUAUUCCAAAUUUGAUUGGAUAAAACGAGUCGGUUCAACAAGUAUGCUCUUCAUUUGCUACUCAAAUCCUAUGAAUGAGAAAGCUUUUUCCAAAGGCCAUAAAGCCUUAAGAUGAGGGCUAAUGAUAUCUGAAGACCAUCAAGCAGUUUCAUUUAAGGACUAAAAGAGAGAACGGCGUGUGCAUUGGGAUGAUAUACAUGUCCAAUUUCAUUAGUCUUCCUCUUAUUUUAUCGUCGCAUGCGUUGUUAGCUUAUUCGAUUUCUCUUUUUUCAUUUUUCCUGUUGGGUAAUUGCUGUUAGUUAUAUGCCUUUCCUGUUGGGAUAACUCACGUGUCUUGAGUUCAAAAUCGGGUCUUGAGUUCUGUUGGGUAAUUUCUCUCAAUCAUUACGUAAUUGAUUGAUGGGAAACAUGAGACACCAGUUAUUAGAUUAUGUCUUGAGUUCGAGUCUCAUAUGAAAUCCAACUCAUCAAGAGGAUUUUGAUUUGUUCAAAAUCGGGUGUUCCCUUUUGAUCAGUAUCAAAUCUUGAUUUGUUGGGCGAUGGUACUUAACUAUUAUAUUUAUUGAAGGUUUGGUUCUGUUGAAGAUAAAUAUCCACGUCGGACUCCACCGAAGGCGUACGGUUUUGGGCCUUAUCUAUAUAUCCUGAGGAAGAUGGACCGAGAAAAUCUAUAUUUUAUAUUCCCCCACAAGAGGACUCUCUCUCUCUCUCUCUCUCUCUCUCUUUAACGAAGAAAGAAAGGGACGCACAGCGACGCUAUCUUUGAUCGCUUGGAUGAGUUCCAAAAACAUGGAUUUUGUGGCGAGAGUUCUACAUCCAAUUAAAAUAUUUUAUUUGUAAGCACUUUGGAUUUGAAUGUAAUUAAGGUGCGGGAAAUAUUCGAACCUGUGAGUGAUUGUAAGUAUGUGAUUCUUCGAUUAUCAAUGGAUUAUUUGCUAUUGACUCCUUCAGCAGAAUAGGUAUCGAGAGUUCUUUAUAGUUACUAGUUUAUUUUUCUGAUGAUUUCACGUUGAUUUAAUUAUAAGCUCCGGUUAGUUUCAGCGUUAUUUUAUAAUAAUUUGUUCAGUCUUCGGUGUUCGGUCUUCAGUCUUCGGGAGAGAGAAGGCAAUAUUUAAGGAAAGAAGCAAUAUCUUUAUUUGGUUCAGUCUUCAGUCUUCAGUCUUCGUCCGCAUGGACUACGUGGAAUAUCAGGCACCAAAUGUCUAUUCGGUAUUUUCUCCCUUUCUUCUUUCUUAUUACCUUAUUGCUUUCUCUCUCCCCAACUUUUUAAGGUGCUUCCCAUCGCACAAUGCUAUGUAAUAUAUUAAUAUUUACAUACUAAAUCAUAUGGCAGAAAAUAAGUGGGCGAUAAGCCAAAUGCAAAAUUAAUAGCAAUAUGCCAAAUCAUUUAUUAUACAAUAUUUUUAAAUUAGUCUUAGUGUAUUGAAAAUAUUAAUAACAGUAUUCAUUUAUGACGUGAACUAAAAUAAUGAUUCGUAAAGACAACUAACCCAUGUACCGGAUGAUCAGCAGCCACCUUGACAGUCAAGAUGCUACGCUUUACACCCUAUGAUUUCUAUUGUUUCUUGGAGUGCGUGGAGAGCACGCUGUUCGAAGCCUUAAGAGCAUGUCCAUAUAUCCUCGAGACAGAGGACAUAAAAUAGAGGACUAUAGAAAGUUCGGAUGAGCUUCCGGAACUCCCAUGGUGAGUUUUUGAAUAAUUGAGUUGCACAAGACAGAGGCGUUAAAUGCACCUAAAACUGAGAGGGGGUCACUGGAGGAGAUGGGCAAACAACUAUUUCUUGUGCUCAACUUUGCCUUCUUGUGGUGGUGGAGCUCAAUCCUUAGCUCCGGGGCUUGCUCGCAAAACCAAACGGAUCGGUUUGCAUUAGCGUCCUUCAAAAGCGCAAUACAUGAAGACCCAUUUGGAGUCUUGAGCUUUUGGAAUGAUUCUACCCCUCAUUGUGAGUGGCAAGGUGUUUUGUGUAGCAAAAGGCAUCUUGGGAGGGUCACAUCCUUGGUCCUGAGAUCACAAGGCUUGAGAGGCUUCCUAUCUCCUCACAUAGGUAACCUCUCUUUUCUAAGGGUCAUGGUUUUACAGAAUAACAGCUUCCACGGUGAAAUCCCACCACAGAUAGGCAACUUGCUUCGACUUCGUCUUCUUAUUCUUAGUAAUAACUCAUUUGGCGGGCCAAUAUCCUCCAACCUUUCCUGCUGCUUGAACCUCAAGAUCCUGGAUCUCAUAGAUAAUCAGCUUGUGGGGAGAAUUCAUUCCGAUCUUGGUUCUUUAACAAGGCUUAAAUUAUUGGGCUUGUCUGAGAACAGUCUCGUAGGUCCUAUUCAUCCUUCGAUCGGAAACCUCUCGUUACUACAACAAUUCUCCCUAGGAAAAAAUGCGUUGCAUGGAGAAAUACCUGAGGAAUUGUCCAGACUCAAAAGGUUGGUAUUUUUACAACUCUCAUUUAACAAACUAAUUGGCGAGAUCCCACGAGGAAUUUUUAACCUCUCCGACAUUUGUUACUUCUCUGUCGGUUAUCAGUUAUUGACCGGGACGAUUCCGUCUGCUAUUGGCACCACUCUUCCUUCUCUCCGUUACCUUGGAGCCCCUGACAACCUGUUAAUUGGGACAAUUCCAUCAUCAUUAACAAAUGCGACCAGCCUUCAAUAUCUUGCGCUUCACGACAAUAGUUUCCAUGGGCCAAUACCGAAAGAUCUGGGAAGGUUAAAGGGCCUUCGCUUGAUUGGUUUGGUACAUAACCAGUUACGGGAUGACUUAAGUUUUAUUUCUUCUUUAGCUAAUUGUUCCCGCUUAGAAUAUCUCUCACUGAACUCGAACUUGUUUCACGGAUCAUUGCCGAGAUCCAUCUCCAAUCUCUCCAGCAUUAAGGGAAUUUAUAUGUCAAACAAUCUGAUCCAAGGAACUAUUCCUUCAGCCCUAGGAAAUCUCUUCAACUUGUCUACGUUGAGUUUAGACUAUAAUUUUCUGACCGGUCGCAUUCCUGAUUCCAUCGGAGCACUUUACAAUAUGCAGCGUCUUUGUUUUCCCGGAAACAUGUUUACUGGAGUGAUACCGUCUUCAAUUGGUAACAUGACGUUGUUAAAUAUCCUUGACCUCGAGUCCAACAAUUUCCAAGGCUACAUACCGCAGAGUCUUGGCAACUGUAUGCAAUUGAAUGCGCUCGAUCUUUCAAACAACAACCUAAUUGGCUCGAUUCCAAUUGAAAUCAUGGGUCUUUCUUCCUUGUCAAUCAUCUUCAGUUUAGCGCAUAAUAAUUUAAGUGGAUCUCUUCCACUGCAAGUUGGAUCUUUGAAGAAUCUCGCCGAAUUAGAUCUAUCUUACAACAGAUUGACAGGCUUGAUCCCAGAGUCCAUCAGCGAGUGCUUGAUAUUGGAAUGGCUUCACUUAGAGGCUAAUUCUUUUCAUGGUCAAAUCCCCAAAACUUUACGUCCGUUACGGGGUCUACGAGAGCUGGAUCUUUCCAAUAAUAAUUUUUCAGGUCCAAUCCCAAGCUUUCUUGCAGAGCUCUCACUGCUUGAGUACUUGAAUAUGUCCUUCAAUGAACUAGAAGGACGGGUUCCGGAGGGUGGAAUUUUUCUUAAUGCAAGUGCUGUAUCAGUUUCCGGAAAUGAACGACUCUGUGGGGGUGUUCCGCGUCUAAAGCUUCCUCUUUGCAAAUCACCAAGCUCUAAGAAGUCUUCCACAACCAAGACCAUGGUGAUAUCGAUUGUAGCCGUCAGUUUAUGUUUAGCUUUGUUGUUCCUAUCUAUCUUUUGUUACUGCAAAAAGAAGCAUAAGAGAAUUGAUGCCUCGACAUCAUCAUCCUUCGAGCACCAAUUCUUGAGGAUUUCUUAUGAAGAACUCUUGAGAGCUACUGACAGAUUCUCCGAGACCAAUUUAAUUGGUAAAGGGAGAUACGGCAUAGUUUAUAAGGGGAUUCUUGACGGUGGUGUCACGAUAGCAGUGAAAGUGCUUAGUUUAAUGCAAAGAGGUGCUUUGAGGAGUUUUGUCUCCGAAUGUCAAACUCUAGGAACCAUUAGACACCGUAACCUCAUAAAGAUACUAAGUGUUUGUUCCAGCGUGGACUUUCGUGGCAAUGACUUCAAAGCUCUAAUAUACGAGUUCAUGGCUAGUGGAAGCUUGGAGGAGUGGUUGCACCCUAGGAGUAUCGAACGAGAUGAUGAGCAUGGCGAAUUGAGAAAUCUAAAACUAAUGCAGAGGUUAAACGUCGCCAUCGACAUAGCCAAUUCGAUCGAAUACCUCCAUAAGGGCUGUUCUCUAGCAAUCGUCCAUGGAGAUCUGAAACCGAGUAAUGUGCUUCUAGACAAUGACAUGGUGGCUCGAGUUGGAGAUUUCGGGCUUGCAAAGGUCAUUUCAACAGUGUCUGUCGAAGCCACAGGAGUUCAAGAUCUAGGCAGUUCAACUUCAAUAGCAGUAAGAGGAUCCAUUGGUUACGUGCCUCCUGGUAUGUAUUUAUCAUAUUUUCUCGAUUAGUUUUUGGUUGAUUGCGAUAGUAAUAUGAGAGAAAGUCAAAAGUUUGAAUAAACAAUGAUUUGAUGUUAUGUUAUGCUUUGUAUGCUCUGACACCUAUUUUUCCUAACACAAUUUCCUCUUUCUCCUAUUAAUAACUUCAGCCGAAAAAGAAAUUACUUAUCUUUCUCUCGUUCGUUUUUUAUCCAGUAUCAUGUUCAUGAUGUGAAAAUGGGUUGUGUCUAAUAUUGUCGUAUAGUCAAUUACAGUACAAGAAAUUGACGAGAAUUCACGAUUCUCUUAUGCCAUGACUUAAGAUCUUGACAAUAAGUAAUUGACCGCUUACCGUGGACCUUUUCCUAUAUAGUAUGAUAUAUGAAUUAAACUAAAUCCAGAUCAUGAAAAUGAGGAGCUUCAUGUGGAUCUUAUGUGCGUUCAGUCACAACCAAUGGUUUAAAUUUAGUUGACACAUGUAGCAAGUUCACUAAAAAAUUUCUCCCAAGGCCUUCAUUUCAUGUAUUUUCUUCCUUUUCUGUUUUCGCCUGUACCCUGCUAGAGCACAAAGUCAUUAUAGAUGUUUAGGCAAUUUGUUUAGCAAACAGGUGACAACUUUGGGUGCACUAAGUAGUUUUGGAGAAAGAAAAUUUCAUAUCUUGUUAACUGAUCUUUUGUGCACUUUAUAAAUCCUAAAAUCUCAUUUCAUUACAGUUGAUACAUUCUGACUUUUGUGACAUUUUUUACCACUAAGCAUGCGAUAGGCGCUAAAAAUUAUCUAUAGCUAAUAAACCUAGUGAAAGUCAAACAAAGAGUACGAAAUUAAAAAAACCAGCAAGGGGUCUGUAACUCUCUACCUUGCUUCGACAAAGGAUUCCCUGGCCUCUACCGUGCACGGAGAGCCCGACCGUGGGGUGAGUGAGGGCUUGCAAGCCAUCGCUCUAUGUUGGGCGCGCGACUGGCAGGAGUCCUCACAAUUGUCUUGGCAAGCUCUUGCAAGUAGACACCAAGCAAAAUCCCACGUGAUCCAGGAACUUCUUCUAUAAAUUAAAUUCGAAAGAAAGUUUUUGUUCAUUCUUAUUUAAUGUAUUGAUGAAAUUCUCAGAGUACGGCAUGGGACAAAAGGUUUCCACACUUGGGGAUACAUACAGUUACGGCAUUCUAUUAUUGGAGAUGUUCACUGGGAAGAGACCCACCGAAGAGGCUUUUGAGCAUAGUCUUAACCUUCAUAGCUUUGUCCGAAUGGCUCUUCCAGAUCGAGUGAUGGACAUCGUAGACUUAAGACUUUGGAGUGAAGCUGGUGAUCAACAACAGGAGAUUAGGAUCAGAGACUGCAUUAUCUCUGUAUUUGAAGUCGGAGUUGCAUGUUCGAUGGAAUCACCACCGAAUCGGAUGAACAUGACUGAGGCGAUCAGGAAAUUACUUUUGAUCAAGGCAAGUUUUGAAACCAAGAGAUGAGGACAGGUCUGUAGCUAAAGUCAGUUUUCUUGUUUCAUCUUGAAACUCUUUCACUAGUAGAGAAAAUCAUCGUGCAAAGGUAGUGUUAGGAAAUUGACAUGAAUGUCUCCUUAACUAGUCUAUCUACCCAUACCUAUUAUGCAUAAAUUACAUCAAUAUCUUUCGUAGAAAGUGGAUGUAUGGGGUUAUAGUCUUCCUACUUCUACCAAGUGACCAUGUAAAAUGUGAUAAUUUGCUUAUCUGCAUGGUUCUCUUCAUUUCUGAUGCCAUUGUGGAUCGAUGCAUUGCUUAAUUACCAUGGAUGGGCCAUUGCCCUCGCAUCUCUCUCUCCACACGCGCUUGUGUACGAGAAUGGGACCUCACGGUGAGGUCACAAAAUCAAGGCCAAUUCUUAAUGUCGCGAUUAACCAAGAGUCUACCGUCAAUUGGAGACCAAGCUUGAUCAUCCAAUAAAGAUAUAGAGUUAACAAACACGUAAAUGGGACAAGAUCAAAAAGGAAACAUGGACGCAUAUUUAUUGCACUCCUCGUUGUGCUUAUCACACUGUCUAACGAUCCAUGUCAAGUCUUCCCACUCAACCAACCCUCCCUCUUUUCUUCACCAUUAGCCACCGUCUCCAGCCGUUUGUGGUCACCUAUCAUUAUCGUCGUCUCCUCCUUGUCUCAUCAGUAUCUCCGUCAUAUCAUCCACGACCAUCUUUACUUUCUUUGAUUGCUGACCCAAAACACUCUUCCCUCACUCUGCCUUUUCUCCCACUGCCAAAUCUCUGAGGUCUCAGAACCACCAUUGAUGAUUUGUUUUGGCCAUCCUGGCCCCUGAGAUCUCACCGAAAUCUCAAUGGACAGGCCAGAUAUGGUGGAGGCAUCCCCUGAUCUGGAGACGUCCUCUAAUCUCAUCAUCGACAACUUAAUUGUAGAUGACUAGAGGAGCUUGAAGCGAGUUCUUGAGACCCGCUGAAGGCAUAAACUUUCUCGACCACCCUUUAACGAGAGAGGGAGAGAGGUUGUCACGCCCCGGACCUUCCCUCAUCAUGGAAACGCAACAUCCACCACAAGAUUAAUUUGUGACGUCCCAAGAGGCGUCACCGGUCCAUUAAUUUUUAUCUUUCAAUUAAGCACAUGUGGAAGCGUACGACUCAAUCACUUGAUCAAUAACAACAAAUGGAUAGUAAGGAAAACACAUAUAUACUACACAACUUAUAUAUGCUUCAUUAAUAUAUUGGAACUUUAUAAUUACAAACCCACUUCUUUAGGGCCAUUGCGAUUUUCGCCCCAUGCAAAAAGAUACAGGGGACGGUUAAAGGGGUUCACAAGCUUCAGGGUGAGCUAAUCUCCACUAGCGAGAUACUAACCAAAAGUGGCUCCCCUAUGAGGACCAACUACUUAAGCAUCACCUACUAGAUUGUCUGGUGAGCCAUCGUCCUCGUUUAGUCUGAGCGAACUACAGAACUCAUGGAGGGGUCCGAAGAGAUCCCCUUCGAACCAUGCGUCCUAGGCCUAGUAACUGUGAGGGACGAGAUCAUUAUAGCCCCCUCUACCCAGACAAUUAUAGUGAUCCUUCAAAAUACGGUAUCCUCCCUAAACACGUUCAUCAUCGUGACCUCCAUACUCAUGGGUACCCAAAAUCGCAUGAAGCGAGUAGGUGGUGGAUUCAUACCGAUUGGCCUGAAAAAGGUUAAGCAACAAUAAAUGAGUUGAAAGGAGGACUCGGCGGAGGAAGAACAAGCAGAGAGAGAGAGAGAGAGAGGGUAACGGAGCCGUCAAAGAAACGAGAAGGUAGGAAGCCGGGGUGGGGCCCAGCGUGUACACGUGUCGAUUCCCGCGUCGCUCGUUUCCGUACUCCCCCUCCACCAGUGACGUGCCGAGAAGAACAGCCAAAACCAUCUCCUCCUUCUUCUUCUUCUUUUGUAAGGUGUCAGGGGACGCCGCCGUCUAUGGCUUCUUGUAGUGGUCAUCGCCGUCGCCGGAGAGAAGGUGGAGCAGUCGAGCGGGAGGCCGUGACCGGUCCUCCUCGUCGUGGGAGCCGUUGCUUCUUCAAGUUCAUACUCUCCGGCGCGCUUGACUCUGGAAGCUCGUGAGUCGGUCAAGUCUUCGCACUCUGUUUUAAGAGUUUCUCGCGCUCUGUGCUGUGUACCCAUCAACCUGGAAAACGGGCCCGCGCGUUUGGUUUGGAAUGAACGAUGAACUUUUCACUUCCAACUUAAGAAAGAACAACUGGGAAUUCUCUAACACGGCUGUCGAUCGAGCAAAAUUUCUCCUUUUUCGUACUUCGAUGAUAUGAAAGUCUUCAUCGGACGUGCGACCAGUUGUCCUAAACCAUGGUGAUGGCGGGCCUCAUGGCUGCUGCCAUGUCUUCUGCUAAAGUUUACUUUUUUGUAUAUAUAUUUCACGAUUUGGGUCGAUAUGGGUUUUCGGACUAUAGUGUUAUGUGCAUGGUUCAGGUUUCCACAACAUCCUUUGAACGUUGCUAUUCGGAAAAGAAGAGUAAUUUCAUGGAUACACAGAGUUAACUUACAGAUGUUGAUAUGACAAAAGUAAUGGGCUUUUCCUACGGUGCCUGGCUUGUCCAAUGAAGCAUCCAUCUCUACAAAUCGAUCCACAACUAUUUCGGAGUACACUUGUGGAAACUGAUCUUUCAUUCAUGUUGCAGAAUUUAAAAUUCCUUAGAUCUUUUUUUUUCCCCUGUUCUCUGCACUUUGGUUUGACUAUGAUGAGUUAUUAUGAUGGACCCGUAAACCUUUUCAUAAUAGGGAAUUCCAAAGAAUUUCUUGAGAAGAUGUGGGAAGGAUCUCUCAAACUCGGUGCUUCUUAAGGUCCCUGACGGUUCAACCUGGACUAUAGAACUAGAAAAGCGUAACCAUGACAUGGUUUUGUUGGGGAAAGGGUGGCGGGAAUUCAUGGAGCAUUACUCCAUUGGUCAUGGUCACUUCAUAGUUUUCAAAUAUAAAGAGAACUCCACUUUUCGCGUAAUAAUAUUCGAUAAGAGUGCUUCAGAGAUGGAUUAUUCCUCGAGCAGGGGUGAAACAUCAUACCUUGGGAGCGAACUUCCCUCGCCAGAAGCAGAAGAUGUUGUAGAAACAGAUCGUCUGGAGGAUGUCAAACCCCGUCAAAGAAUGAGGAUGGAGCCACAUUUACCUUGUUCUCAGCUAAGUCCGAGUUUCUCACCGCGAGGGUCUGAAGGUGUGACUCUUCAUUUUAGAAGUCACGUAUAUUCUUGCAUCACUCUCUUUUGUUAGUUCUUUUCCAAAAAUACUUGUGAACUUUUUACAAUCUAAAGCCGCUAAACUGAUAUGGUAUCAUUAGAUGAAAAAAAAGGCCUCUGCUAUGGAACAGAGUAGCUUUGCUAUUUCUAUUUGUAGCCAUGGGAAGUAGGUGGAUUGAUUUUAUCCCUAUCCCUUGUUUUGGAGCUAAGUGGAAGCUGGUCUCCUCCGUAUGUAGUUUCCAUGGAUACUGACCCUGAAGAACCACAUCUAGCUCAAGCUCAAGCUGGCCUGACAGAGAGGAGUAAACAGCCAACAUGCGGAGCGAGUCAUUCUGAGCUGGAUUUUCAUGGUCCUAUGCUUCCAAGGCCUCUCACUACUCCUGAAUUAACCCGCAAAAUUAAUUCCAAAUAUCCCUUUUUCAUAAAGGUGAUUAGGCGAUCUUAUAUGAGUAAACUGGUAAGUCUUGAGCUCAUCACGAGUAUAGUUCAAUUAUGACUGCUGGUACCUACAAUGCCAUGAUCACAUUAAUUGUGAUGUCCACCUAUUUGAGAUUUUUUUCUCCCAUCCAUAUAGUGUUUAUGAUAUAAUACAGUGGAUUACUACAACAAUACUCAUUCCAGGGAUUUCUCAUUCCACUUAAAUAAUUUCAUGUCUUGGUUGUUCAAACAUGUGCAUGUGCAGAGUAUUCCAGGUGGAUUCAUCAAGCAGCAUAAGCUGGAAAAGCAAAGAGCAACUCUAAGGCAUGCCAACAGAUCAUGGUCAGUGAGGCUUGGCGGGAGCAACAGACAUGUCAGAGGGGCUUUGUGUCUGUUCUUUUCUGCUGGUCGGGAUGCAUUUGCAAGAGAGACUCAUCUGCACGUAGGACAUGUCUGCAUGUUCAAGCUAAUUGAUAGGGAUGAUAUUGUUUUCGAAGUCUCCAUUUUGAGUGGUGAGGACUUGAUUUACAUUUUUAAAAAUGAGUACUUGAGGUGUAACUUUAGGCUGUUUAUCGCAUGACUUGCAUUCUGGGUUUAUAAUUAUGCCUCCCUUAUUUGGUUGUUGUGCCUCUAUGCCAUUUUAAAAUAUACUCGUACGUUUUUAUAAGAACUUUGUGUGUCGAUUAGUAUUGUAAUAAUUGAGGCGGCAUUCUAGUUGAUUUGUCACUUCCGAUGUGAAGAGCACUCAUGUCAAAUUUUCUGAAUUUUUCAUUUCAUGGUAAUCAUAAUUUACAAUCUAGGUCAAUUGAAGAAACGCUCACAUUAAAGUCCUUUUAUUCUCAGUUCUUCGCGGGAACAAACUGUCCAAACGCAGAGUGAAUCAUCAUGAGCUGGGUAUUCGUGGUCCUACACCUCCAAAGCCCCCCACUACACCUGAAGUAGCCAGUGAAUUUGAGUCGGAGCAUCCCUUCUUCAAAGUGGUGAUACAGCAAUAUCAUAUGAAACAAAUGGUAAGAUCUGAAGCCUAGUCCACAACUGGCAUAUCUCGAGUUCAAUUUCAAUUGCUAUAAAUCAUGCCUCGAUAUUGUGUUUUCCCAAGUUGAUUUUGUUUGUAUUGGAAACUUAGAUGACAUAAUAUAUUUCUUAAAGUGUCCAUGGAGAAACCUAAUGAUGGAGUAACGCGGAACCAUAAAAAGAUGAAUUAAGUAAAGACUGUAACUGGGUCGGGACUGUCCUUUACUGGGAUGCCCCACAAGCUGCUCUAUUCACUAUCCAAGUGAAAGGAUGGACCGUCACUUUAAUGGUAAACUAACUGAAAAUAGCUAUUAAUGGAGUCACUUCUUUAAUAAUGCUUUUGAUUGCAGGUUAAGAUUGAUAACUUUCAUAAGCCCCUUAAUGCUUGUUGAUUAAAACUCUUGAACUAGCAAUUAUCGGCAAGAAUAUGCCUCAUGUGCUUCUUCUUUUUCACGUGAGUGUAUUCUUAUGAGAUGUCCUUUUAACAUAUGGUGGUUUGUUCAUGCAUGUAUGAAUGUGCAGUAUGUUCCAAAUCAAUUUUCCCAGCAACAUAUUCAAGAAAACAAGGAAAUGGCGACUCUCAGGUUUUCAGAUAGAUCGUGGCUGGUGAAGCUCUUAAGCUAUACGCAUAAUAAAUACCAGGGGGUGUAUUUCUCUGUUGGUUGGAAAGAAUUUGCAAGAGAAACUCAUCUGUGCGUGGGAAAUAUCUGUAUGUUUGAACUCAUUGAUAGUGAUGAUGUUGUCUUUCAAGUCUCCGUUUUUAGUAGUGCUGGUAAGGAUCUGAUUCACAUUGAUUGAGAUGAACAUUUUCUAUUUUAUUCGGUAGUUGUGAAUCAUGAAAAGUAUACCUUUUAUGUUUCUGUUUUCUUCUUCUUUGCACUAGUCUCAAUUCGAUUUUCACGAUGACAGUAAUUUUCACACCAAAUGACUAUCAAUUUCUCAUUGUUUUACUACAGGUGGGACAGAGAAAUCUACAUGCAGAGCGAGCCGUUCUGAGCUGGAUUUUCAUGGUCCUGCACUAUCAAGGCCUCUCACAUUGCCCGAAUUCUAGCAAUAUUGAUUCAGAGCAUCCCUUUUUCAAAAAGGUGACCCCCCAAAGUUAUUUCCAUAGCCUGGUAAGAUCUAAAACUUAAAUCAUCACUCACAUAUCUCAUAUCAUUUUUCACCGUUUUCAUGUAUCUGCUAUUAAAAACAUGCACAUGUGCAGAGUGUUCCGGUUGGAUUUUUCAAGCUACAUCUUCAGGAAAACAAACAAAUAGCGACUCUUCGGUAUUUGGACAGAUCGUGGCCAGUGAAGCUCAUUAGGAGCCUUGGACAGGCCAGAGGUGCUCCGGCUCUGGCCUUCUCCACCGGUUGGUGUGCAUUCGCAAGAGAAACUGAUCUGCGUGCAGGAAAAGUCUGCUUGUUUGAGCUCAUCGAUAGGGAUGAGACAGUGUUCGAAGUCUCCAUUCUGAGAGGUGCUGGUAAUGACCUGAUUCAUGUUAAUGGAGAUGAGCAUCGGAAGUAUUACCUGAGGCCAUUGCAGCAUCGAAAUGAAAUCAGGGGUUCCUAAUGAUGCCUCCUUAUAUUAAGCAGCGCAGCAGCGAAUCAAUCAAAAGCACUCUUUUCCGCUUUUUGUUCUCCUUUCUUCCUUUUUGUGCUAGUUUGAAUUCUAUGACUACCUUGCUUGGAAAGAACCUCCCAAAUCAGUGAAUCUUUAUGGUUUUGCACAGCGGCUCAACCUGACCAGUGGAUCUACAGGACAGUGAAGACAUAAUGCUCUGAUGUAUGUUCAUGGAGUAUUUCUCCUUUUAUAUGUUUUGUCUUUCAAAUAUUAUGGCUUGUCCUCGUCCUCUUCGUUCCCGGAGAGAAUACGAAGCUGUUGCCGAGCAGGAGACGACUCCUAGUAGAAGCCCUCACUUCUUCAGGAUCAUAUUCUUCGGGAUCGUACUCUCUGACAAGCUAAUUUGCUAGGUUAGGAGUUUUGAUCAACACCCUUGAGAGGUUCUUGAAAGUCAUUGAUCUCAAUUAAGCAGCAAUCCAAAGCAUUUUCUUUUAGAAGUGACUUGUCAUUUAGGGCUUGUUUGGUAAAAUCUAUCUUUGUUCCGAGGAACAAAAUUUCCGUUCUUUUGAUCCGAGGAACCAAAAAAGAAUACAAAUGUGUUUGGUAAAACUUUAGUUCUCGGGAACAAAAAAUACAUUUGGAACAGAAACAAGAAGUAGAAAAAAGUAAGGGAACAAUUUCUAAAAUCAAAUUUUUUCUCUUCUUUUUUCUUCUCUUUUCUGGCGACCUCGCCAGAGCGUCGCUAGCCCCCAGAGAUCACUAGCCCCCAAAGACGUCAAGCCACGGUGAGGGCCUCGCCUGGGUUAGAUUGCACGGGCAAGGUCAACCUUGCGCCACUUGGGCAAGGUCGGGCCUCGCUGGUGGCCUCAAUGCUUGCUUGGCCACCGAGGCCACCAGUGAGGCUCUGGCCCUCGCCUUGGUCUAGCAAGGUUCCAGUGAGCUCACUAGACCUUGCCUACUCACUGGACCUUGCCUAGCUGGUCGCGAACCACUGCCAAGGCGGAUGACCAGCUACAAAGGAGGAAGAAGGAAAAAUAUAAUAAAAAUAUUUAAAAAUUAUACAAUUUUACCAAACACAUUUCUAUGUCCGGAAUAGAAAUUUUUUACAGCUUCCAAGCGUGUUCUUAUACUCAGAAAUUGUUCUAGAAACAUUUAAAAAAAAAUCAUUUCUCAUAAAAAAAUUGUUCCAUGGAAUAGAAUCGUUACCAAAUGCACUGUUAGUUUUCUAUACAAUUCAAAAUCAACUUUGGGAAAAAGCACAAUGCCGAAGCCUCAAUCUGGUCGGCAUGUAAGUAUUUCUAAUGUUCAAAUUAGUGGCGGAAAAUAUCACUGCGAAUUUUGUUUUGCAUUGACGGUAAAUGGUCUAUUUUUUAUUAUUUUUUCUUUGAUGUUACAAGAGGCGAAAGCCUGAAAAAUAGAGUGGUUGGCCAUGGCGAAAAUUUUGUAUACAUGAUCUAAUUCUACAUGCCAUGAUCUAUAUGCCAAAAUUAGCAUAGCAAUGCAAUUACGAAUUUUAUAAGGAUUUGCACAAGCAAUCGACCUAUCUCUUGGACUUUCAACCUUCAACUUUCAACUUUCAACUUUAAACUCCUUGCGAGAUUGGUGUUCAGUGCACUCUGGAAAAAUAAAAUCGAAAUGACAUUAUGUUGGAAAUUUAAGUAAGAACAAUUUGAACAUGACGGGGAUCAUCAUGGAUGGGUCGUAACAUGUACAUAUAUGAAUGUAACCUAUAAGGGCGAAUAAGAGGCUAAAUAUUAAAAAAGUUGUUGAAAUAGCUUAUUAUCAUGAAAAUAGGUGAUAGUUAGAUAUGAAAAGAAAUGAUGGUUGAUCAUGAAAAGUGAUAAUAAUGGAGAAAAGGUACAUAUUCUCAAUAAAUGUAUUGAUUGGCUAUAUGUAAGUAUGACCAAAUCAUACAUUAUUCAACACUCCUGUUUAAGAAUAAUAGCCUUCUCUUUUUCAUAACUCUCUCUUCUUCAUAUUAUUCCGUAAUAUUAUUUUCUUUUUUUUUUCACACGCGAGUUUGAUAAUAUAUUCAAGAGAGAAAUUGAGUAAUUCUUGAACUCAUUUUCUUUUGUAGCUUUACUGUAUAUCUUGGAGGUAAGUGCGCCUUAAUAAUUGCGCAAUUAUUGGCACACCCGCACACGGGUAUGGUGGGGUCUAUCCCACACCCAAUCAUUUCUUUAGGUACACUAAAGAAAUCUCACACUUACUAAUUGACCUAUUUUCUCCAACUUUUCUUACAUGGGAUAAGGAAACAUGCACUUAGUUUGUUUUUACAAACAAACUUCCAACAAUAUUCACAAUGUCUAUUUUGGUUUAGUUAGUUCGUGCAAUCGUGUACUACAGAGAACAUAUCCUUUAUCUCAUUAUUUAUAUCAUGAUUACAUCAUGAGAUAAUUAACUUUAACAAUCAAUAACCACUUGAUUAACUUUUCUUUUCUUCCUUAAUUAUAAUUAUUUAUAUCAUGAUUACAUCAUGAGAAUUAUUGUGACGUCUAUGGUCAAUGGAAUCGGAACUCCACUGCCGGGUACAAUAUAUGGGAACUUUGGUUUAUGCUGAUGUAGUUACCCACAAAUUAAGACAAACAGGACAUCUGCCCAUAUAUGGAAAUAAUAAAUUGACUCUUGUUUAAGCAAUUAUGGGAUUAUUGAUUCGAAUAGACGUCGUGAAGGGAAAAAAAAUGAUCAAAUGACACAAAUUGCCACUCUAGUAAUCACAUAUGAAUAAAUUUUAUAUAAAAUCAUAUCAGAGUAACUAAUUUUUUAAAAGAACAAUUUUUAAAACCCAUUUUUGAUUAAAAAAAUGCUUGAAUUAUAUUAGUGUUGUGGAGAAAAAUGAUAUAUAUUUUGAAUAUUUACACAAUGUGAUAGAGGCGAUGUCAAUUCCACCUCCAUUUUGGCCAGUGCACUUAUUGUUUUAGGUUUUUUUUUUGUUAGUCAUACUCUAUUCCUACACUAACUCGAACUCUCACUCUCAGAUUUUUGUCUUGCCUCCCUAAAGGACGUGAGAGUCGAAACUCAUACUAGAAACUAAUUCGUCCACAUCCCAACCCUCUGAGAAUGUGGGGAUUCGAACCUCCCACUUCACCCUUCCAUCUUGGAAAGGUAGCCAUUGAAGCAAACCCCAGUGGUUUAUUGACUGAAAUACUCUCUCUCUAUUUUUAUUUAUUUAUUAGACUAAUCAACAAAAAUGACUUUAUUUCUAUCAUUUCUUUAAUCCAUUUCAUAAUAUAAAUGCAUUAUUAUAGCUAGCAAGACGUCAUCUUAUCUUUUGUUAUCACUUUGCUUAUAGAAGGUUGUUAAUUUUAAUUUAUGACCUCAUAUUUUUUAUCUUUAAAUCUAAAUAGAAGAUUAUAAAUUUAUAUUUAUGACAGCCCAUGAAUUCACAAUCAAUUACCUUUUUUUUUUUUUAAAUUCAAAUAGUUUGAGCUAAUCUAUAUUUCAAUGCUGAAAAUUAAAUUCCAAUCUUAUUAUUUAGCCGAUCUUGACCUUAUGAGUGUUUUUCCCAAUUAAGUUUGUAGGUUUCUAAAGUUAAUAUUGCUUAUUUUGUGCUUUCUUUUGGAACUUUUCAUAUUUUAAUUCAAAUUGCAAGAUGAGGAUUGAAAAUCUAGUUACAUCUCUUUCACUUUCAAAUCCACAAAUUAUUUUGGAGGAAAGUUUUAAGCAUAUUUUAAAGUUUUAAUCCACAUGCUAUGAGAAUAAAUCUUUAAUUGAUAUUAAGUAUCUAAUUCAUGGUAGAUGUACAAUAAGAAGUUCCCUCUUUUUUCCCUUUUUGUGCUUAUGCUUUGUUAAUAUCUAGGUAUGAUCCAAAUAUAAACAUGUUUAAAAUUUGAUCAUGCUACUAACACAUUAACCUUUUCCAUAAUUUGAUCCAUUAUUUUUUUUUUCAUUUUUUAUCAAGAUCAACUAGAUAAUUAGAUUGAAAUUUAAUUUUCAACUUUGAAAAAUAGUUUAGCUCAAAUUAUUUAAUAAAAAAUAGGCAACUGAACGUGUAUUCAGAAGCUGUCAUAAGUAAAAAAAAAUUAAUCUUCCAUAUAGCUUUUGUGAGUAAAAUAUUAGACCAUAAUUAGAAUGAACAACUUUCUCUAAGCAAAGUGAUAAGAUAACAUGAUGCAGGAUGAGAUAAUAUCUCGUUGGGUGUAAUGAGGCAUUUGUAAGUGAUAAGCAUCCGGUCAUCUGUUACUUUUGCAUAGGGUCAUUUUGGUUCCAAAAAUCAUUUUUCCUGAAUUAAAGCUGUCCGAAAGAGGGCAAAAUUGAGAAAGAAAUUAUGAAAGAAGAGAGAGCCAGAGUUUCGAAAUUUAGGGCUGACUCAGUUGGAUAUGACCCUCACCGGCUCUAAGUGGAGGGGAAGAAAUUAAAGAAAAGAAAAAAGAAAAAAAAUUUCAAAAUUUCAAAAAAUAUUAUUUAAAAGGUCCUUGUAGUCAAAAUUGGCCAACACAAAUGCAAAAAGAUUUUAGAUUGAAUUGAUAAUAAAAAAUAUUCAUAAUUGAAUUGACACAAUUACAAUAUGUUUAUGAUAUUUUUGGUAAUUCUCUCAGGCUCUUGUGCAUUUUCGUAACAUCUUAACGUUUUGUGUUGAAACAAAGAUGUUUGCAAGAAAGUGACAAUACAAAGAAAGCGGUUCUUGCAUAACCUUUUUGCAUUCCUUGCCUUUUAAGCGAUCAACAAUAUGUUUAUGGCUAAAUAAAAAUAAUAUUUCGAAAAAAUUACAUGGAUAAGCGCUUACCUGUAGGUGACGUGUUUCCAAACGAACUAUUCUCCAAUUUAAAGUAAUCUUUAUUUGGAGGCCCACCAUUCUACCGAAGAAGUGAAUGCGCUGAUUUAUGUGCAUUUAUGCCAAUUUGAUAGGACUGAGAAAUCAAUAUUGGGAAUUUGAGGACUAUUUUUAAGUGCUGACAAUCUUAAGUGUUAAAGUUAAAAUAAAAAGUUUUAGAUAGGGUACCAAUAAGUUUAUUUCCUUUAUUAUUAGCGGAUCAGAUUGGAUCAUAUUUUAUUAGGAGAGUAACAUUGUAACUUCGGGCCAUGGCCCUUUUUUUAUUACAAAAAAAAAAAAAUGUUUGACAAUCAUUGAAUAUUUGUAAUUUCUUUCCAAUUACAAAACUACAAUCAUAUUUGAUAGGUCGGAACCAUAUGAUCAGUAAGAUUCUAACUACUAUAAAUUAUUUUCUCAAUUUGAAUGAAUUAAGUAAUCCAUUUUUAUACGAAUUGGAUAAGUAAAUUUAUAACUUAAUUAAAUCUACUAAAUUAAUGAUAAUUGAAGUUAUCUAACAAGCUUAAUUUCUAACUAUGACAUGAGAGAGGACUCCGACCCUCUCCCAAAUCUAGAUAAGGGCCUAUGGGGCGUUGCUGGGGUUGAUGAAGGUCACCAACCAUCCCGAGGCCUUGCCGAACCCCCAUCCAUCACCGAGGCAUCAUAGGUUCUCCCUGGUGGGUCUUCUAUUAUUAUUAAAUAUUUAGCCUUGUCUUAAUCUAAUUUAACUAAGAUUUAGGUUAACGUAUAAUGAUUUCACUUAAACAACACUUUAAUCUUAUGCUUAGUCUUUAGUAUGUCAAUGUUACAUAAAAGAGAGAAAAUAAAAAGUAAAAAUGCAACAACCAUUAUCUAUUAGUUAAGUUGGACGAAAUUAAUGAAAUGACUUAAUUGUGUCAAUUUGAUAAAUUUUAUGAAUUGAUUGCACACUUUUAAAGUUUUAACGUUGGAUCGCACUUUUAUACUAAAUUUUAUAAACUCUAGUGCACUUAUCGCUAAAUAGAUUGCUCCAAAUGAUCAACAACAUUGAGGAACCAAAUUCUAUUGGGGUAAGGACAAGCUCUUGGAGUCCUCCAUCAAAUCAACAGUUAACAUUUAAUGGAGAUGGCAGUGGAUAGAUAACAAAGGGGCCAUAGGUAUUAUUGCACAAUCGGAUGGAGGCUUCGUUGUCCAAGCGUGGAGUGGAAGUGGAAGCUGUGACACUUCUUUUUGCAUGUAAAGCUGCUUAGUCUCUUGACAUCCAUAAAGUGAUGUUUGGAAGUGAAUGGAGUUUGAAGUGGACUUGUUAUAUUAUUAAUGAAGUUGCUCAUGAGCUUUCAAAAUGGGCCGACAUAUGCUUUCAUUUUAAAUGAUCUCUCUUCUAGAAUUAAAAGUAUAGUGUUAGCAGAGUCAUCUUUAAUUUAUCAUUUAAAUGUAAGCUCUAGUUUCUCCUCGUAAUAUUUGAACUACUUUGCUGCGAAGGAAGAUUUGUUUUAGCCACAAAAAAAAAAAAAAAAAAAAAGGAAACUGAUCAACAACGGUCUUGUCUUGUCUUGGCUUGUCUUCCGGACUUCCGGACUGAUUCGUACCGCGAAGAGACAGCCACCAAAAGGAUAAGGAUAAGCCACGUAACGCUCACAAAGAGUCCACCCAUCAGUUGCCACGUGUACACAGUGGGUCCCACUCCGACUCCGUCAGCUCCUCCCUUUCCGUUUCUUCACGGCGGCGGCGAAGCCUCCGGCGAGGGGCCCGGAGAUAGUGCGAAGACCAGCUCCAUGUCGCGUCGCGCCCGCUCGCUCUCACGCCUCAGCCCGUUCGAGAACCCUUCUUUCGCCUCCACACUUCCUCCGUUCUCGACUCGUCAUGGAACCGGCAUGCGCCCACCAGGCGUUCGACGAAAUUACUCUGUGGGGAUGAAGCAAAAUUCAACGUCGUGGCCCGCCACGGGGACUCGGAGGAGGAAGAACAGGCAGAGAGAGAGAGAGAGAGAGAGAGAGAGAGGGUAACGGAGCCGUCAAAGAAACGAUAAGGUCGGUAGGAAGCCGGGGUGGGGCCCUGCGUGUACCCGUGUCGAUUCGCGCAUGGACUGGAGCGCCCAAUAAUUUCUCCUCCCUCCGUCGCCGAACCACGCGUCGCCCGAUUCCGCACUCCCCCUCCACCUCCACCACUGACGUGCCGAAGAAGAGCAGCCAAAACCAUCUUCUUCUUCUUCUUCUUCUUCUUUAUCUUCUUCUUUUGUAAGGAGUCAGGGGACGCCGCCGUCUAUGGCUUCUUGUAGUGGUCGUCGCCGCCGCCGGAGAGAAGGUGGAGCAGCCGAGCGGGAGGCCGCGGCCGGUCCUCCUCGCCGUGGGAGCCGUUGCUUCUUCAAGUUCAUACUCUCCGGCGCGAUCGACUCUGGGAAGCUCGUGAGUCGGUCAAAUCUUCGCACUCUGUUUUUAAGAGUUUCUCUUGCUCUGUGCUGUGUACCCAUCAACCUGGAAAACGGGUCUGCGCGUUUGGUUUGGAACGAGCAAUGAACUUUUCGUUUCAAGCCGAAGAAAUAAAGAACAGGGUAUUCUCUAACAUGGCUGUCGAUCCAGCAAAAUUUCUCCUUUUUUCGUACUUCGAUGAUAUGAAAGUCUUCAUCGGAUGUGCGACCAGUUGUCCUAAACCAUGGUGAUGGCGGGCCUCAUGGCUGCUGCCAUGUCUUCUUCUGAAAUUUACUUUUUUGUAUAUAUAUUUUACGAUUUGGGUCGAUAUGGGUUUUCGGACUAUAGUGUUAUGCGCAUGGUUCAGGUUUCCACAACAUCCUUUGAACGUUGCUAUUCGGAAAAGAAGAGUAAUUUCAUGGAUACACAGAGUUAACUUACAGAUGUUGAUAUGACAAAAGUAAUGGGCUUUUCCAAUGAAGCAACCAUCACUACAAAUCAAUCCACAACUAUUUCGGAGUACACUUGUGGAAACUGAUCUUUCAUUCAUGCUGCAGAAUUUAAAAUUCCUUAGAUUUUUUCUUUCCCCUGUUCUCUGCACUUUGGUUUGACUAUGAUGAGUUAUUAUGAUGGACCCGUAAACCUUUUCAUAAUAGGGAAUUCCAAAGAAUUUCUUGAGAAGACGUGGGAAGGAUCUCUCAAACUCGGUGCUUCUUAAGGUUCCUGGCAGUUCAACCUGGACUAUAGAACUAGAAAAGCAUAACCAUGACAUGGUUUUGUUGGGGAAAGGGUGGCGGGAAUUCAUGGAGCAUUACUCCAUCGGUCAUGGUCACUUCAUAGUUUUCAAAUAUAAAGAGAACUCCACUUUUCGCGUAAUAAUAUUUGAUAAGAGUGCUUCAGAGAUAGAUUAUUCCUCGAGCAGGGGUGAACCAUCAUACCUUGGGAGCGAACUUCCCUCGCCAGAAGCAGAAGAUGUUGUAGAAACAGAUCGUCUGGAGGAUGUCAAACCCCGUCAAAGAAUGAGGAUGGAGCCACAUUUACCUUGUUCUCAGCUAAGUCCGAGUUUCUCACCGCGAGGGUCUGAAGGUGUGACUCUUCAUUUUAGAAGUCUCGUAUAUUCUUGCAUCACUCUCUUUUGUUAGCUCUUUUCCAAAAAUGCUUGUGAACUUUUUACAAUCUAAAGCCGCUAAACUGAUAUGGUAUCAUUACAUGAAAAAAAAGGCCUCUGCUAUGGAACAGAGUAGCUUUGCUAUUUCUAUUUGUAGCCAUGGGAAGUAGGUCGAUUGAUUUUAUGCCUAUCCCUUGUUUUGGAGCUAAAUGGAAGCUGGUCUCCUCCGUAUGUAGUUUCCAUGGAUACUGACCCUGAAGAACCACAUAUGGCUCAAGCUCAAGCUGGCCUGACAGAGAGGAGUAAACAGCCAACAUGCGGAGCGAGUCAUUCUGAGCUGGAUUUUCACGGUCCUAUGCUUCCAAGACCUCUCACUACUCCUGAAUUAACCCGCAAAAUUAAUUCCGAAUAUCCCUUUUUCAUAAAGGUGAUUAGGCGAUCUUAUAUGAGUAAACUGGUAAGUCUUGAGCUCAUCACGAGUAUAGUUCAAUUAUGACUGCUGGUACCUACAAUGCCAUGAUCACAUUAAUUGUGAUGUCCACCUAUUUGAGAUUUUUUUCUCCCAUCCAUAUAGUGUUUAUGAUAUAAUACAGUGGAUUACUACAACAAUACUCAUUCCAGGGAUUUCUCAUUCCACUUGAAUAAUUUCAUUUCUUGGUUGUUCAAACAUGUGCACGUGCAGAGUAUUCCAGGUGGAUUCUUCAAGCAGCAUAAGCUGGAAAAGCAAAGAGUAACUCUAAGGCAUGCCAACAGAUCAUGGUCAGUGAGUUUUGGCAGGAGCAACAGACACGUCAGAGGGGCUUUGUGUCUGUUCUUUUCUGCUGGUUGGGAUGCAUUUGCAAGAGAGACUCAUCUGCACAUAGGAGAUGUCUGCAUGUUCAAGCUAAUUGAUAGGGAUGAUAUUGUAUUCGAAGUCUCCGUUUUGAGUGGUGAGGACUUGAUUUACAUUGUUAAAAAUGAGUACUUGAGGUGUAACUUUAGGCUGUUUAUCGCAUGACUUGCAUUCUGGGUUUAUAAUUAUGCCUCCCUUAUUUGGCUUUCGUGUCUCUAUGUCAUUUUAAAAUAUACUCGUACGUUUUUAUAAGAACUUUGUGUGUUGAUUAGUAUUGUAAUAAUUGAGGCGGCAUUCUAGUUGAUUUGUCACUUCCAAUGUGAAGAGCACUCAUGUCAAAUUGUCUGAAUUUUUCAUUUCAUGGUAAUCAUAAUUUCCAAUCUAGGUCAAUUGAAGAAACGCUCCCACUAAAGUCCUUUUAUUCUCAGUUCUUCGCGGGAACAAACUGUCCAAACGCAAAUUGAAUCAUCAUGAGCUGGUUACUCGUGGUCCUAGACCUCCAAAGCCCCCCACUACACCUGAAGUAGCCAGUGAAUUUGAGUCGGAGCAUCCCUUCUUCAAAGUGGUGAUACGGCAAUAUCAUAUGAAACAUAUGGUAAGAUCUGAAGCCUAGUCCACGACUGGCAUAUCUUGAGUUCAAUUUCAAUUGCUAUAAAUCAUGCCUCGAUAUUGUGUUUUCCCAAGUUGAUUUGGUUUGUAUCGGAAACUUAGAUGACAUAAUAUAUUUCUUAAAGUGUCCAUGGAGAAACCUAAUGAUGGAGUAACGUGGAACCAUAAAAAGAUGAAUAAGUAAAGACUGUAACUGGGUCGGGACUGUCCUUUACUGGGAUGCCCCACAAGCUGCUCUAUUCACUAUCCAAGUGAAAGGAUGGACCGUCACUUUAAUGGUAAACUAACUGAAAAUAGCUAUUAAUGGAGUCACUUCUUUAAUAAUGCUUUUGAUUGCAGGUUAAGAUUGAUAACUUUCAUAAGCCCCUUAAUGCUUGUUGAUUAAAACUCUUGAACUAGCAAUUAUCGGCAAGAAUAUGCCUCAUGUGCUUCUUCUUUUUCACGUGAGUGUAUUCUUAUGAGAUGUCCUUUUAACAUACAGUGGUUUGUUCAUGCAUGUAUGAAUGGGCAGUAUGUUCCAAAUCAAUUUUCCCAGCAACAUAUUCAAGAAAACAAGGAAAUGGCGACUCUCAGGUUUUCAGAUAGAUCGUGGCCGGUGAAGCUCUUAAGCUAUACGCAUAAUAAAUACCAGGGGGUGUAUUUCUCUGUUGGUUGGAAAGAAUUUGCAAGAGAAACUCAUCUGUGCGUGGGAAAUAUCUGUAUGUUUGAACUCAUUGAUAGUGAUGAUGUUGUCUUUCAAGUCUCCGUUUUUAGUAGUGCUGGUAAGAAUCUGAUUCACAUUGAUUGAGAUGAGCAUUUUCUAAUUUAUUCGGUAGUUGUGAAUCAUGAAAAGUAUACCUUUUAUGUUUCUGUUUUCUUCUUCUUUGCACUAGUCUCAAUUCGAUUUUCACGAUGACAGUAAUUUUCACACCAAAUGACUAGCAAAUUUCAACAUGCACAUGUGCAGAGUGUUCCGGUUAAAUUUGUCAAGCAACAUCUUCACGAAAACAAACAAGUAGCAACUCUUCGGUAGGCCUCUCACGUUGCCCGAAUUUGCUAGCAAUAUUGAUUCGGAGCAUCCCUUUUUCAAAAAGUGACCCCCCAAAGUUAUUUCCAUGGCCUGGUGAGAUCUAAAGUUUAAAUCAUCACUCACAUAUCUCAUAUUCAUUUUUCACUGUUUCAUGUAUUGGCUAUUCAAAACAUGCACAUGUGCAGAGUGUUCCGGUUAAAUUUGUCAAGCAACAUCUUCACGAAAACAAACAAGUAGCAACUCUUCGGUAUUCGGACAGAUCGUGGCCAGUAAAGCUCAUUAGGAGCCUUGGACAGGCCAGAGGUGCUCCGGCUCUGGCCUUCUCCACCGGUUGGUGUGUAUUCGCAAGAGAAACUGAUCUGCAUGCGGGAAAUGUCUGCUCGUUUGAGCUCAUCGAUAGGGAUGAGACAGUGUUCAAAGUCUCCAUUCUAAGAGGUGCUGGUAAUGACCUGAUUCAUGUUAAUGGAGAUGAGCAUCGGAAGUAUUACCUGAGGCCAUUGCAGCAUCGAAAUGAAAUCAGGGGUUCCUAAUGAUGCCUCCUUAUAUUAAGCAGCGCAGCAGCGAAUCAAUCAAAAGCACUAUUUUCUGCUUUUUGUUCUCCUUUCUUCCUUUUUGUGCUAGUUUCAAUUCUAUGACUACCUUGCUUGGAAAGAACCUCCCAAAUCAGUGAUCUCUAUGGUUUUGCACAGCGGCUCAACCUGACCAGUGGAUCUACAGGACAGUGAAGACAUAAUGCUCUGAUGUAUGUUCAUGGAGUAUUUCUCCUUUUAUAUGUUUUGUCCUUCAAAUAUUAUGGCUUGUCCUCGUCCUCUUCGUUCCCGGAGAGAAUACGAAGCUGUUGCCGAGCAGGAGACUCCUCCUCCUAGUAGUAGCCAUCACUUCUUCAGGAUCAUAUUCUUCGGGAUCGUACUCUCUGACAAGCUAAUUUGCCAGGUUACGAGUUUUGAUCAACACCCUUGAGAGGUUCCUGAAAGUCAUUGAUCUCAAUUAAGCAGCAAUCCAAAGCAUUUUCUUUUAGAAGUGACGUGUCAUUUAGUUUUCCAUACUAUUCAAAAUCAACUUUGGGAAAAAGCACAACACCGAAGCUUCAAUCUGGUCAGCAUGUAAGUAUUUCUAAUGUUCAAAUUAGUGGCGGAAAAUAUCACUAAGAAUUUUGUUUUACACUGACGGUAAAUGGUCUAUUUUUUAUUAUUUUUUCUUUGAUAGUACAAGAGACAAAAGCCUGAAAAGUAGAGUGGUUGGCAAUGGCGAAAAUUUUGCAUACAUGAUCUAAUUCUACAUGCCAUGAUCUAUAUGCCAAAAUAAAGCCUAGCAAUGCAACUCCGGAUUUUAUAAGGAUUUGCACAAGCAAUCAACCUACGUUCUCUUGGACUUUCAACUUUGAACUUGCAACUUUAAACUCCUUGCGAGAAUGGUGUUUGGUGCACUCCCGCAAAAUAAAAUCGAAAUGACAUUAUGUUGGAAAUUUAAGUAAGACCAAUCUGAACACAAUGGGGAUCAUCAUGGAUGGGUCAUAACAUGUACAUAUAUGAAUGUAACCUAUAAACAAUGAGGUGAAGGGCGAAUAAGAGACUAAAUAUAAAAAGAGUUGUUGAAAUAGCUUAUUAUCAUGAAAAUAGGUGAUAGUUGGAAAUGAAGAGAAAUGAUGGUUGAUCAUGAAAAGUGAUAAUAAUGGGGAUAAGGGACAUAUUCUCAAGAGAUGUAUUGAUUGGCUAUACGUAAAUACGACCAAAUCAUACAUUAUUCAAUAAUCCUGUUCAAGAAUAGUAGCCUUCUCUUCAUAUUAUUCCCUACUAUUAUUUUCUUUUUUCACCUACAAGUUUGAUAAUAUAUUUAAGGUGAAAUUUCAAGAGAGAAAUUGAGUAAUUCUUGAACUCAAUUUUUUUUUUAUAGCUUUACUGUAUAUAUUGGAGGUAUAUUUAUUUUAAAUCAGUAGCAACAAUAGGAGUAAAUAAUACCUUAAAGACAGUCAUUUUUAUCAUGCAUCAAAGGACUAAAUAAACUACUGAUCUAUCUUCAUUAGGGAAUGAAGUUCCCAACAAGAGCAUGAUGGGUGAAUGAAUGAAACUGUGUAAUGGAAACUGAGUUAACACAAAAGACUGAGGUUGGUGGGAAUUAAUUUAGAACAAAAGAACCUGAAUAUUCGGCCAACGAGUUAACAAAGGAUAAAUCGAAAACAAAAACCAAGGACAGGCAUGCUGGCUUUGUUUUGUCGUUGACAUACUAGGAAGGCAUGACGUUAGAUCACAAUGAAAUUAUAAGACACGAUCGGGGUAUUGUGGAAAAUCAAUCAUCUCAUACCUGGGACGACCAAAUGAUGGAAGGUUUUCCUUGAUGGCUUGCGGUUUCGCUCUUCUUGAAUCCACGAAAGAGAACAUGCUUCCGAUGCUCUCCUCAAAACUCUCUCUCUCUCAGUACGAGCAUAUGCUCGGAAGAGUUCUCAGGUUAUGGUGACUUGAGAGAGAUGACAAAUAUGAGAACGUAAGAGAACCCUUCUUCUAUGUCUAACGUACUUUGCUGAAAUUCUUGUCGUGACUUCCCCAGAGGUGAACCAUCGAGGAAAAGUUAAUUAAUUACUAAGCAAACAAGGGUCUCCCAAACCCAUAUUAGUCGCAACUUUGGGAUUUUAAUUUAAUCAAUUAAACAUGCAAAUCAAUUUAUUUUUCUACUAAUCUAUUAGGGGUAGAUUGGAAAUCCAAGUACAAUGUAGGAGAACAUUUCACUUAUGCGAAUGAGAGAUUUCAUGAAUAAGAGGGCUUAGCUGCGCUAGAUAAAUCUAACACCAUCUCAAUACUUUUCUCUUUAUUUCAAAAUGUUUGGUAAGUAGUCUUGAUCAAUUUAAUCCUAAAUCACUAAUCAUGAGGGUGUGCAAACACUAAUUUAGCACUCAAUAAAUUACAACAAGAAAUAAAUCACUAAAAUAUGAUAAAAAAAGACACCCGGACCCUGGAGUGCCAAAAGUUGACACAAUAGGGUGCGCAUGACAAAAUUUUUAAAACAUAAAUUGAUUUCUGGCCAGAAAUUGAUUUUCCAAUUUCUAUUUCAGAAAUUGAGAAGUUAAAAAUUUUAGCUUCUGAUUUAUUCUUCAAAUUUAUUUCUGGAAUAUAAAUCUGUUCCAAAAAUAGAAAAAUCAAAUUGCAUUACCAAACGAAUUUUUGUUCCAAACUUGUUUCGGGAAACAGAAAAACAGAGAAAUAGAGAAAUAGAGAAAUAGAUAUUUUAUCAUGUAGCCCUUAAGUGCCAAAAGUUACGAAAGUGACACUUAAUGCUAGAAUUAGAGCAAAAUGAAUCACUUAAGUCUUAUCGGCCAAAAUGCUAACGUGGCAAUUUUCUGGCGAGCUACACACUACACGCAAAAUGACGUUGUUUUGUAUGCUGAUGUGGCUAAAUAGUGGCAAAACGACGUCAUUUUGGUAUAAUUCGAAUUUUAAUAUAAUAAUUAAUUAAAUUAAAUUUUAAAAUAAAUAAAUAAAUAUUUUUUUUUAAAAGGAGGAGGGAGGCGGCCGAUGGCUGAGGGCUCAGCCCUCGCUGCCCUCGCUACCACCUCCCCUUCGUCGUUGAGGAGGUGGGGGAGUGUCGGUCAGGGCUACCAAGCCCAGGCCAAGGGUCGGCAACCUUAGCUAACCAGUAGCAAGGGCUUGUGUGCCCUUGCCUAGCCGACCUAAGGGCUGCCACCUGCUGAGGGGUCGCCCAGCCUCCUCUGCCUUUGCCAGGCCGAACCCUACCACCAGUGGUGACCACCGACCAAAGAGAUUUACUUGCGAGGAGUGCAAGAUGAGCGACACCGUGAACGAUUGAGUUGUCAGACAACCUUGACCACUAGAGAUGGGUGGCGGCAAGGCAGCGAUAGGCAAUGGAGGUGGCGGUGAAUCGGAUUUGUGGAGGGAAGGGCAGAGUAAAUCGUGGCAUUUUGAGGGUGCGUUUAUGUCUCGAUAAUAGCUACCGAGCUAGGUUCAUUUUUAAGGGAUUGAUAAAUGGAUUUUAAAUGGGUAGAGAUUAAACUCAUUUAACACUCACAUAUUUUAGUCUCUCUAUUUUAAAAAUUCAUUAUAGUUACUUUGAGAAAUAAAACUUGACCUAUUGAUGGCCAUUUAAGCAAGUAUGGGUGUACUCAUUUUGACACCUCUGCAUCCGCGUUACGAGAGGCUAGUGUCUGAUUAACACUUCCCAUGAAUCUUUGCCUUGAUCACCGAGCCAUCUGAUUUUGCCAGGACGAUGGCCUCUAGAACGAAGGCUCCGCGCUCCUGUAGUUGAAGUUGAAACCCCCCAAACCAUCUUCAUCUUCUUCUGCUGUAAGGCGUCAGGGGACACUGCUGUCUAUGGCUUCUCGCAACGGUCGUCGUCGUCGCCGGAGAGAAGAUGGAGCUGUCGAGCGGGAGGUCGCGACCGGUCCUCGUCUUGGGAGCCGUUGCUUCUUCAAGAUCAUACUCUCCAACGCCCUUGAAUCUGGAAAGCUUGUGAGUUGAUCACAUCUUCAUCAGUGUUUUAAGAGUUUCUCGCUCUCUGUGCUGUGUACCCGUCAACCUGAAAAAACUGGUUUAUGGGUUCGGUUUGGAAUGAACUUUUCGCUUCCAGUUUAAAAAAGAACAAGAGGGUAUUGUCUGACAUGGCCUGUUUAUCAAACAAAAUUUCUCCUUUUUGCAUGCUUCGAUGAUAUGAAUGUCUUCAUCGGAUGUGCGACCGGUUGUCCUGAACCGUGGUGAUGGUGGGCCUCAUGUCCUCUUGGCUGCUGCCAUUUCUUCUGCUAAAGUUUGCUUUUUUGUAUAUUUGUUUUACGAUUUGGGUCGAAAUGGGUUUUCGGAAUAUAGUGUAAUGUGCAUGGUUCAGGUUUCCACAACAUCCGUUGGACAUUGCUAUUGGGAGAGUAAUUUCUUGGAUACACAGAUUUAACUGACCAAAAAUGAUAUGACAAAGUAAUGGGCUUUUUCUAAUGUGCCUUGCUUCCUUGGGCGGCAAAAUUGUCGUGCGCGAUCUCAGUCGUGGGAGAAAAGAAAAUCCAUGUCAGCUGUUGUAUGACAAAACGUCUUGGCCAUGGGAUCAAGAUAAUUUUAUGUCAACUUUGGAUUUGGCACGGCAAUUUCACUAAUUUUAGUAUAAACGAAUUUUGGAUUCUUGAGCUUUAUGCUUGUCCAAUGAAGCAACUAGAACUACAAGUCAAUCCACGACUAUUCUGAAGUACAAUUGUGGAAACUGAUCAUUCAUCCAUGUUGCAGAAUUUAAAGUUUCUUAGUUUUCUUCCUAUUCUCUGCACUUCAAUUUGACUAUGUUGAGUUAUUACCAUGGACCUUUAACUUUAAUUUUUUACAUAAUAGGGAAUUCCAAAGAAUUUCAUAAGAAGAUGUGGAAAGGAUCUCUCAAGCUCGGUGCUUCUUAAGGUUCCAGGCGGUUCAGCCUGGACUAUAGAACUAGAAACGUGCAACAAUGACUUGGUUUCGUUGUGGAAAGGUUGGCGGGAAUUCAUGGAGCAUUACUCUAUUGGUCAUGGUCACCUCAUAGUUUUCAAAUAUAAAGGAAACUCCACUUUUCAUGUAAUAAUAUUCGAUAAGAGUGCUUCAGAGAUAGAUUAUUCAUCGAGCAGCAGCAAAAUAUUGUACUUUGGGAGUGAAUUUCCCUCACCAAAAUCAGAAGAUGUCCUAGAAGCAGAAGAUCUGCAGGAUUCCACACCCUGUCAAAGAAUGAGGGUUGAACCACAUUUACCUUAUUCUCAGCUAAGUCUGAGCUACCCACCACAAGGUUUGGAAGGUGUGACUCUUCAUUUUUUAAGUCACGUUUCUUCUUACAUCACUCUCUUUAGUUAGUUGUUUUCCAAAAAUACUAGAAAACUUUUUUAUUAAAGUUUUUUCCUAAGCCAGUUUUUCAUGGUCCUACACCUCUGAGGCCUCUCACUGCUCCUGAAUUAUCCAAUGAGUUUUAUUCAGAGAAUCCCUUCUUCAAACUGGUGAUAAAUCAGGGUGGAAAAAUGGUAAGAUCUCGAGUUUCAUCCACCGCUGGCAUAUCUCAAGUUCAAUUAGGAUUGCUAGCUAAAUCUUGCCUCAGAUUAGGAUUGCUUGCUAAAUCUUGCCUCAGUAUUGUGUUUUCCCAAGUUGAUUUGGUCUGUAACUGAUACAAUAUGACAUGUUAAUAAUGGGAAACAGGGAAAAAGAAGAAUUAUAAUGUCAGGACUGUCCAUUCACUUAGAUAUUCUGCAUAAGCUGCUCUAAUCACUAUCCAAGUGAAAGGAUGGACAGCACUUGAAUGGAAAACUGUCUGUUAAUGGACAUUCACUUUUGGAGAAUUCUUUAGAUUGCAGGUUAAGAUUGAUGAUGCUUUAGAUUGCAGGUUAAGAUCAUUAAAUUUUGUGAGCCUCUUAAAGUCAUUGACUGAAACUCCUGAAACUAGCAAAUAUCACCAUGAUUAUUCUUCUUGUGUGCUUUUUCCUUAAAAUUGUGUGCUGACUCGUUUGUACAAACAUGUACAUAUGUGCAGAAUAUUCCUGUUGGAUUUGCCAGGCGAUAUAUUCAAGCAGACAGGGAAAUGGCGACACUUAGGUUUUCAGACGGAUCGUGGCUGGUGAAGCUUUUAAGAAAUUUGCAGGAUCACCAGGCAUGCUUCUCUGCUGAUUGGACUGCAUUUGCAAGAGAAAACUGUCUGCUUGUAGGAGAUGUCUGCAUGUUUGAGCUCAUUGAUAGAGAUGACGUUGUGUUCCAAGUCUCCAUCUGCCGUAGUGCAGGUACAGACCCGAUUCACAUUGAUUGAGAUUAACAUCAAAACUGUUACUCUAGGCCAUACGCAGCGUCCAUAGGAAUUCAGGGUUCCUAAUUAUGCCUCUUCAUAUGGUAGUAGCUAGUCAAUGAAAAAUAGACUCACGUUUUUUUGUUUCCUUCGUCUGCUAAAGUCGAUUCUAUAAGACCCCAUUUGGAAAGAAUCUCUCAAAUUAGGGACUUCGGCAAGUUUUCUGGUGGCUCAAACCUGACCUUUAGAACGGUAAAGUGUAGUGACAUUGAACACCCUUGCCUUAAGCCAAUAAGGGAUAAGUGCAUUGGAAGUCUUAAAAGUUGUUAUGAAAGUGCUAUGAGUCACAAAACUUCAAAAACUGUAAUAAAGUCAUAAAACUUAUCACAAAAGUGUAAUUAAGUCCUAAAACUUUCAAAAAAAGUACAAUCAACGGAAGGACUUGAUUGGACUUGACAAGUUUUUGUAUUUGAUUGCACUUUUUAAAAAAAUUUAGGACUUAAUUGCACUUUUUUGACAAGUUUUAGGACUUAAUUGCAAUUUUUGAAAGUUUAAGGAAAUUGCACUUUGGUUACAAGUUGUAGGACUUUUAAUGCACUUAUCUCUAAGCCAUGUACCAACUCUGAAUUACAAGGUGCAACCCAUGGUUUUACAAGCUCAAUUUGAACUUAUCAGAUUCUUUUCAUUUCUCUAUUUGCAUACUUGAAGACUUUAUAGGAAGUUUAUUUGCCUAGGGGUGCAUGUUGAAGUUUAUUAGUUUCUUUUCAUGUGGAGAGCAUUUAGAAUUUAUUUCAUCAAACUACCUGAAUCUUGAUGUGCAUGACAGAACAUUUUUCCAAUCUAUACUAAAUCUUUUUGUAGUUAGUCAGUUAAAGAAAUCUUCACACGAAUGUCUGCUAAAUUCCUCAUUGUUUAACUGGGGAAAAAGGAUAUCUAUUCUCCUGCCUUACCACUCGACCAUGCUGCUAAGAUGAUAAGGUGUCAUUCGAAAUAGAUUUAAAAAGUUGCCCACUGUGGAGCAGAGUAGCUUUACUAUCUCUAUUUGAGUUGAUUCCUAUCCUUAGCAGUUUUGGAACUAAACGAAACCUGGUCUUCUCGAUAUGUAGCUUGUAUUGAUGCUGACCCCGAAGAACCAGAUGUGUCUCAAGCUCCGGCGGACUUGACAGAUAGGAUCCAACAGUCUACAUGCAGGGUGAGCCAUUUGGAGCUGGUUUUUCAUGGUCCUACACUUCCAAGGCCUCUUGCUCCUCCUGAAUCAGCCUGCAAAUUAGAUUUGGAACAUCCCUUUUUUAAAAUGGUGAUGCCCCGAUCUUAUUUGAAUUGCCUGGUAAGUCUUGAGCUUAAUUCAUCACCGGUAUAUCUAGAGUUCCAUUAUGAUUGCUAUCACCUACAAUGCCGUGAUCACAUUAGCUGUUGAUGUUUAUGAGAGUUUUUCUAUGUUUAUAGUGUUCAUGAUAUAAUCCAAUAGAUUAUUACAUCAAUAAUCAUUAGUAACACGUAUUAAAAAAGGAUGUGGGCUAGCGAUUUCUUUCAUCCUUGAGCACUUUCAAAAGGAUAAAUACAUCUGUGGAUUUCUUCGACGUCAAAUGGUUACCUUCUUGCUUUUUGCCCUCCAAUUUAUCCUUGGAUUUCUCAUUCCACUUGAACAAUUUCAUAUCUCGGUUGUUCAAACAUGUACAUGGCCAGAGUAUUCCGCUUGGAUUCAUCAAGCAACAUAUCCAGGAAAAGCCAAGAGCAACUCUUAGGUACUCAGACAGAUCAUGGUCAGUGAAGCUCAUCAGGAGCAACAGACACCUCAAAGGGGCUUCUGCUCUGUCCUUCUCUGCUGGUUGGCGUGCAUUUGCAAGAGAAACUCAUCUGCGUGCAGGAAAUGUCUGCUUGUUUGAGCUAAUUGAUCGGGUUGAUAUUGUCUUCAAAGUCUCCAUUUUGAGUGGUGCCAGUAAGGACUUGAUAUACGUUGUUGAAAAUGAGUACUUGAAGUGUAUGCCUCCCUUAUUUGGUUGUGCUGCAUAACUGACGAGUACACUUUCUUUUCUAUGUUAAUUUAAAAUAUAGUGAUUUGUCUCCCUUAUUUGGUUGUGCUGCAUAACUGACGAGUACACUUUCUUUUCUAUGUUAAUUUAAAAUAUAGUGAUUUGUCUCCCUUAUUUGGCUGUGCUGCAUAACUGACGAGUACACUUUCUUUUCUAUGUUAAUUUAAAAUAUAGUGAUUUGUCUCUUUCGAUGUGAAGAGCACGAAUAAUAUUUUCAUUCAAAUUGUCUGACUUUUUCAUUUCAUGGUAAUCAUAAUUUCCAAUCGAUUUAUAUAUCUUAUUAUCAUAGGUGGUCCUACACCUCCGAAGCCCUUCACUACUCCUGAAUUAGCCAGUGUGUUUGAGUCAGAGCAUCCCUUCUUCGAAGUGGUCAUACAGCAAUGGCAUCAGAAUAAAUUGGUAAGAACUCAAGCCUAAUCGACCGGUGGCAUAAUUCAAGUUCAAUUACAAUUGCUGUAAAUCAUGCCUUGAUAUUGUCUUUUCCCAAGUUGAUUUGGUUUGUGUUGGAAACUUAACGACGGAUUAUAUUUCUCAAGUGUCCAUGGGGAAUCCUAAUGAUGGAGUAACAUGGAACUAGGAAAAGAUGAAUAAGUAAAGACAGUAUUUGGGUUGGGACUGUAAUUGAAUAUUCCUCACAUGCCACUCUAUUCACUAUCCAAGUGAAAGGAUGGACAGGCACUUGAAUGGUAAACUAACUGAAAAUAGCUUUUAAUGGACAGUCCUUUCUUAAAUAUUGCUUUGGAUUGCAGGUUAAGAUCGGUGACUUUCAUAAACCCCUUAAGGCUGGUGAUUAAAACUCUUGAACUACAUCAUGUGCUUUUUUCCUUGUUUUUCACGUGAGUGUAUGUUUAUGUGAUGUCCUUUUAACAUACAGUGGUUUGUUCCCACAUGUAUGAAUGUGCAGUACGUUCCCCGUCAAUUUGCCAAGCAACACAUUCAAGAAAACAGGGAAAUGGCGACUCUUAGGUUUUCAGACAGAUUGUGGCUGGUGAAGCUCAAAAGCUAUUCGCAUGGAAGCCUGAUGUUCUUCUCUGCUGGUUGGCCUGCAUUUGCAAGAGAAACUCAUCUGUGUGUGGGAAAUAUCUGUGUGUUUGAGCUCAUUGAUAGGGAUGAUGUUGUAUUCCAAGUCUCUAUUUUCAGUAGUGCCGGUAAGGAUCCAAUUCACAUUGAUUGAGAUGAACAUAGGAUGGGUUACUUUAAGCCAUUUGCUGCAUUAAUAUGAAUUCAGCAUUUCCAAUUAGCCUCAAAAGUGGACUUUUUCAUGUUUCUGUUUUCUUCUUUUCUGCACUAGUCUCAAUUCGAUUUUCAUGAUGACAGUGAUUUUCAAUCUAUGCUGGAUCUUUUCAUAGCAAGUCAAUUAAAGAGACAUUCUCACCAAUUCUAUUCAAUUUCUCAUUGUUUUACUGCAGGUGGGAUAGAGAAAUCGACAUGCAGAGUGGGCUGUUCUGAGCUGGAUUUUCAUGGUCCUACACUAUCAAGGCCUCUCAGGUCUCCCGAAUUUGCUAGCAAUAUUGAUUCAGAGCAUCCCUUUUUAAAAAAGGUGACCCCGCAAAGUUAUUUCCAUGGCCUGGUAAGAUCUAAAGCUUAAAUCAUCACUCACGUAUCUCAUAUUCAUUUUUGACCGUUUUCAUGUAUUGGCUAUAAAAAACAUGCACAUGUGCAGAAUGUUCCAGUUGGAUUUUUCAAGCAACAUCUUCAGGAAAACAAACAAAUAGCGACUCUUCGGUAUUUGGACAGAUCGUGGCAAGUGAAGCUCAUUAGGAGCCUUGGACAGGCCAGAGGUACUCCAGCUCUGGUCUUCUCUGCUGGUUGGCGUGCGUUCGCAAGAGAAACUGAUCUGCGUGCAGGAAAUGUCUGCUUGUUUGAGCUCGUUGAUAGGGAUGAGACAGUGUUCAAAGUCUCCAUUCUGAGAGGUGCUGGUAAUGACCUGAUUCAUGUUAAUGGAGAUGAGCAUCGGAAGUAUUACCUGAGGCCAUUGCAGCAUCGAAAUGAAAUCAGGGGUUCCUAAUGAUGCCUCCUUAUAUUAAGCAGCGCAGCAGCGAAUCAAUCAAAAGCACUCUUUUCUGCUUUUUGUUCUCCUUUCUUCCUUUUUGUGCUAGUUUCAAUUCUAUGACCACCUUGCUUGGAAAGAACCUCCCAAAUCAGUGAAUCCUUAUGGUUUUGCACAGCGGCUCAACCUGACCAGUGGAUCUACAGGACAGUGAAGACAUAAUGCUCUGAUGUAUGUUCAUGGAGUAUUUCUCCUUUUAUAUGUUUUGUCCUUCAAAUAUUAUGGCUUGUCCUCGUCCUCUUCCUUCCCGGAGAGAAUACGAAGCUGUUGCCGA
RNAcentral lists this long non-coding RNA (77281 nucleotides) under Eucalyptus grandis. Its description in RNAcentral is "long non-coding RNA (EGRA_LNC004190)". The record is from RNAcentral. Lineage: Eukaryota; Viridiplantae; Streptophyta; Magnoliopsida; Myrtales; Myrtaceae.